Molecule: long non-coding RNA, 78767 nt
Filed under: Triticum aestivum (bread wheat)
Lineage: Eukaryota; Viridiplantae; Streptophyta; Magnoliopsida; Poales; Poaceae
Description: long non-coding RNA (TAES_LNC020047)
Source: RNAcentral
GACCUGCUUCAGGAGGGCCUCCGUGGAGAGGGGUGGCAGGUAAGACAGGGUCUCGAACUUCUUGAUGCCCUCAAUCGGCCACACCUGAAUGAAUAGAAUGCGCAGAUGCUCAAUACUUGGUGCUAAGUCAAUUAACUGUACCAACAAUGCUAGAAAAAUCUGUUGAUAAGCCAAAAAUUGCUCCUUAUGGGCAGGUCUCAUAUGCAUUGUUGGGUUGUCCAUAAUGAAGAAAGCUUAAGGGUAGCCCUUAAACUGAUGGGCACUCUGGAGGUACUAAGAUAAUUUUAUCUAGUCCAUGCUGUAAUAAAAAGUAUUUCCAUUCACUAAGUUAUGAGUUGAUUGCUUUUACACACGGAUCCCAGCUUAUGGACAAGGCUAAAUGAGCAUCCAAAGCCAAAUGGUUUCCAUAGGCAACAAAACAAAUAGAUAAUAAGGUUUCGGAAUAAUCUAUUGACCAAAUUAUGUUAUACAUUGGGGAUGUUCUGUAAGUGAAUUACUUGUAAUGACAAAGAAACUCAUAUCAGUUUAAUUAGUGACCGACAUACCUGCAUGCACCUGAUCCUUCCGCCGUUGCUGACGCUGCUGAGGCCGGCGCUGCUGGAGCGGCGGCUGAUGGGCAGGCCGGCGGUCGACUUGAGACCCUGGAAGGGUGCGACGGAGGUGGCCGAGGAAGCCAUCACAGUGGGGGCCAUGGUGUUGGAGGAGAGAAGGUGGCAGGCUACGCUUGAGGCCCCCAUUGCUGGGUCACCACGGUAUAUAUAGCCAUAUAUGGCCAGCUCCUAUCUUUAAUCAAGAUGUGGAAGGGGUGGCUGGCGUUCGUUGGUUGCCUGGUUUCCUUAUCUCUCCGGAUUAGUGCAAGAGGCAUGGCCGUUGGAUGAGUUGUGUGUGCUGCAAAUUUCAGUCGUCCAUGUCAUUGUGUGAUUGCCACAAACCCUUUUUUUCCAGCCUUGCAUGUACUGUAUUAUUCUUUUCAUUUCAUCUUGCUAAAGGUAACGCUUGAAAGGUGCACGAAGAACCUCCUUUGUUGAUUUGCGAUUUAAGUUCAGUGGCACAGGCAUAAGGAAUGUUAUAGUACAUCCUUUAUCCACUUCCAUAAUACAAACUUGUCAACCAAUUAUGCUUGCUUGUAAUCCUUGGUGCUUCAUUUUAUAAAAUUUUAUACAGGUAAUUAACAUAUAUUUGCUGCAUGUGUGAUGUGUGCCAUCAUGACCUUUGUUACGCAAUUCGUGGUCGGCUAUCACCAGCGUUCCGACUCACAUGCGUCAACCAGGCCCGACCAAAGAGCAACACCAACUUAUGAGAGGCCUUGGUCCCUCGCCCCCUCCCCAAAAAAAAGACUAGCCUGUUAGGAGGGGACACCCCGCCCUUAUAAAUCGUGUUAUGUCUCCUUCCACAACCGAUGUGGGACUAAACCCAACAAUCUCCCCCUCACACAUCGGUCAUCCAUGGGCCCUCUAACACCAGCAUUUCCAGCCCAGCAACCAUGACCGACUACCCAUGAGUUCACCGAGAUUUAUUCCGGGCACCUGGGCUCUAAUACCAAUUGUUANNNNNNNNNNNNNNNNNNNNNNNNNNNNNNNNNNNNNNNNNNNNNNNNNNNNNNNNNNNNNNNNNNNNNNNNNNNNNNNNNNNNNNNNNNNNNNNNNNNNNNNNNNNNNNNNNNNNNNNNNNNNNNNNNNNNNNNNNNNNNNNNNNNNNNNNNNNNNNNNNNNNNNNNNNNNNNNNNNNNNNNNNNNNNNNNNNNNNNNNNNNNNNNNNNNNNNNNNNNNNNNNNNNNNNNNNNNNNNNNNNNNNNNNNNNNNNNNNNNNNNNNNNNNNNNNNNNNNNNNNNNNNNNNNNNNNNNNNNNNNNNNNNNNNNNNNNNNNNNNNNNNNNNNNNNNNNNNNNNNNNNNNNNNNNNNNNNNNNNNNNNNNNNNNNNNNNNNNNNNNNNNNNNNNNNNNNNNNNNNNNNNNNNNNNNNNNNNNNNCAAAAAAAAGACUAGCCUGUUAGGAGGGGACACCCCCGCCCUUAUAAGUCGUGUUAUGUCUCCUCCCACAACCGAUGUGGGACUAAACCCAACAACCUUUAUGUCUUUUAUUCACAAUUAUUCAUUGGAACACCAAAGUGUUGUAUUAUUUUCUGCACAUAAUCAUUUACAUGCCUUGGAGGAUUUUUAGUAUUGGAAAUGCUAUUUAAUUAGGUGUCCAAGCAAGGUAUAACUUUGUUUUAAUCUAUGAGCUAAAGUUUUAGAUCCCUCUGUUAUCCAUCUACUCAGUUCAUGCCAUCCCCAGCGAACUCAUAAAUUACAUAUGGUGAGCCCAUCAUGAUUCAUCAUGAUUUUGUAACAUCAUUGAAUCUAGCCCACAAAAAAGGUAGAUGUAUGUUCAUUCAUUUCAUGAUGAUGAAGCAAGAUGCGAUCGACCGUGACCACUCAGUGAUUUGGCAAUCAUGUAGGAUGAAUAUCGUGAUCAUCUAGUCGUUCAAGAUAGAUGUCGUGAUCUUCUUGUGUGACUGUCUCAUAGAUUUGAGAUGCAAAUCGAAUCUUACAUUCUUUCAUUUCUUUUGCGAAUUUCCUGCAUGUAAGAUGAUAAAGCUGAGUUUGUAGUUAAUUAUUUUUUAUGAAUCCUUAAUGAUAAUUAACAUGGCCCAGAUAUUCACAAAAUAUCCAUAAUUAUCAUGAACGAAUCAAUAAAUUACUAUUGCAGAAUGAACCUUCCAUAGACCGCUCCACUUGGGCCUGUCGGUAGAGAGAUUCAUCACUCAUGGGCCGCAAAACGCCAGCCAAGUAGGAGGACCUUCACUAACGGGCCCUUAAGUUGGUCAUCAAUGGAGGGGCACCCAUGGGGCCCAAAGAUCCAACUGAAUGGAUGAUCCAUCUCUACUGACGGUCAUACCACACCACCCAUCAAUGUUGGGCGGCCCGUUAGUGCUAAAGUAAGGUAUUUCUAUCUACUGAAGAUGAAAUGGCCUUAUAUGCGCUUUCUCUUUCUCCUAAACAAAACCAUGCCAUCGCCCCCAAUCUAUUCCUCCCCAACGUCAUCACCACCUCAUCCAAUGUUUUCGUCUCCUUACAUGUGUGCCCCCUCCUUCUUCCACAUUGAUCUGGUCCAACGCUUGAAAGGAUCGAUAUGGUUGACUAGAGGGGGGGGGGGGUGAAUAGGCAACUACCAAUUUUUAACUUUUCUUUAUCAAAUUAAACUUUGCAUCAAAGUAGGUUGUCUAGAUGUGCAACUAGGUGAGCAACCAAUAUGAUGCAAUACCAACAAGCAAACAAGCAAGCAAGAGAAGUAACACUAAAGAGCUUGCACAAGUAAAGGUAAGAGAUAACCAAGAGUGGAUCCGGUGAAGACGAGGAUGUGUUACCGAAGUUCCUUCCCUUUGAUGGGAAGUAUGUCUCCGUUGGAGCGGUGUGGAGGCACGAUGCUCCCCAAGAAGCCACUAGGGCCACCGUAUUGUCCUCACGCCCUCACACAAUGCGAGAUGCUGUGAUUCCACUAUUGGUGUCCUUGAAGGCGGCGACCGAACCUUUACAAACAAGGUUGGGGCAAUCUCCACAACUUAAUCGGAGCCUCCCAACAAAACCACGAAGCUUCACCACAAUGGACUAUGGCUCCGUGCUGACCUCAAUCGUCUAGGGUGCUCAAACACCCAAAAGUAACAAGAUCCACUAGGGAUGAGUGGGGGAAUCGAAAAUCCCUUAGUGGAAGUGUAGAUCGGGGCCAUGUCAACCACUCCCGAGCAAAUCAACAAGUUUGAUUGGCUAGAGAGAUAGAUCGGGCGAAAAUGGAGCUUGGAGCAUUUAAUGGAGCUUAAGCAAUAAAUGAAGCUUGGGGGAGGAAGAGGUAGGUGGAAGAGAAGAAGGGGACUCCCUUUUAUAGUGGGGGCAACAAUCCAACCGUUGCCCCUCACCAACCAGCCCCGCACAGGGCGGUACUACCGCUGAGAGGGGGCGGUACUACCGCCAGUUCAGCGGUACUGCCGCGCCAGCCAGCGGCACUGCCGCGCAGAGGGGACUAGUAGGGAAUAGGACCCAAUGCGGUACUAUCGCGGUGGUAGGGCGGUACUACCGCUCCUGGAACGGUACUACCGCCUCUACAACUGCAACUAGUGCCGCAAAACCCGACACGAGAAAAAGACCCCUCGAGUCGAGGCGGUAGGAGCCACACAGCCCAGCGGUACUACGGCAGCAGGGUCACGGGCGGUACUAACGCCGUGGAGCGGUACUGCCGCUUGUGACCCUUCGGCCGUACUACCGCUGGUAGUGCAGUACUACCGCUGGGGCACAGAAGAGAGAGAGAAUCUCUCCAAAGAGGCUGAGGACGAGGCGGAGGUGCCAGGCACCCCAGCGGUACUACUGCUGUGGAGCCACGGGCGGUACUACCGCUGUAGAGCGGUACUGCCGCUUGUGGCUCCUCAGCGGUACUACCGCUGGGUUGCGCGGUACUACCGCUUGGACCCAGACAGGACAAGGAAGAGAGGAGAGAUCUCUACAAUGGAAUGGAAAAGCUCGGAGGGUGAGAAGCUGAUGUGUACGUGUUGAUUCCACUCAUGCAAUACCCCAGCGGACCCCCUCUUGAUAGUACGGUGCCCUCUAUGCAACUAGUCCACCGAGAAAGAAACGAAAGAGCUACACCGUCUUGAAAUACACUCCGAGGGGAAGAAAACGUCUCAUGCCAGGGAAGAAUCUGUGAAUUAUUCAAAGCACAAGAUUAGUCCGCAAACAUGUUGUCAUCAAUUACCAAAACUACCUUGAGAGAGAUAUGCCGUAACAAUCUCCCCCUUUUUGGUGGAUUGAUGACAACUAGGGAUUUGCGUAAGGAAAAGAAAUAAAAGAAGAAAACUCUGAUACAAAAUAUAGACGGGCUCCCCCAGAAUGUGUGCACCUAGAUAGUGGAGCAUUCGGAGCAAGACACACACAUUCGGAUUAACACUCCCCCUAUAUUUUAUAGUCUAACAAUACUAAGCACAAGAUAUAUGAGAGAAGAGAAUAAAACAGGACAAGCAUGCAUCUCAUAAUAAACUACAGUACUGAAUAGACAUAAGUAAUAAGGUAGCGAUAGGGAGCAUAUGUCUCACACCAUAUGUCUAGAACUUAGGUCUCACAGGCACCAAACCAAACCAAAUAAAGACACCGAGAGAACACACAAGAAACCACAAGACGACUCAAAGCACGGCAAUAACACAAAUCCCUACACUCUCUCCCCCUUUGGCAGCGAGACACCAAAAAGGGCAAAGAGUGAUGCUACGACUCCAGGUGAAGGGAAGAUGAAGAUCUCGAACAUCACAUCUCUGCAUCUUCAUCGUGGGUCGAAAACUGCUCGGCAUCGAAGUCGGUCCAAGGGCAAUGCUGAUGAACCCAUUCCUCCUCUUCAGUGAUCUGACCCUCAGACCCACUGGCAACUAUCGCUCCCAUCUAACGCAUGAGCUCCUUGUGGUGUGUCCUGGCAUGCUUCUUUGCCACAUGAGUCAUGUACUGACCAUGAGACUCCGUGCAGAAAAGCUUCUUCAUCUUGCGUUUAAGCUUCUGUGCCCACGACGGUUCUGUACUAGAGGGCCCAAAGUCCUCCUCAUGAUCAUCAGUAGCAGCCCCACCCUCGGUCCCCAUGGCAGCAGCAGCAGCAGCAGAAGGAUCCCCCAUGGCAGUAGCAGCAGACGGACCCCCUGUGUGAGGCGCUGGGGUUGAUACGGCGAGCUUGAUGCUCAGAAUGGUCAUCACCUGGAGCCAAACACAAGAACACGCAAAACAACCAGAAAGAACGAGCAUAAGCUAACAAACACAACAAAAAUAAUCAAGGUAAGGUAGGAAUUUGAUGGAAUUUGUCAUGCAGCGGUAGUACCGUGACAUGCCCACGGUAGUACCACCCAAGCGGUAGUACCGCCCCAAAGAGAGCGGUAGUACCGCUCGAGGUCAAGCGGUAGUACCGCUCCAACGAGAGCGGUAGUACUGCUCGAGGCGGAGAAACCGCAGUUACCUACAGCACAAGGCGGAGAAACAGCGGUUUCCUACUACCGUGGUCAGAUCCGGCACUAUCGGCCUGCCAAAUUCAAAAAUAUUCCUACCAAACUCUAAUCGAGAUAGUCUAGUUGCCUUCUCCAACCAACUCAAGCCUAGAUUUAGCCAAAAAUCUAGAGAUGCAACCACCAUUGCCCCUAAGAAACAAGAUCUGAAAACGAGACAAAAGGAAAGAAGGAACGGGGGCAAUACCGGCAUCCAUGGCAAGAGAACGGGGUGGGGAUCGACUCCACCAAAGGAAAUGGAGAGGGACACCCCGGAGAUGGAGAUCCGCCGGAGCCCUCCCGCAACGAGUGGAGGCUGGAGAGAGGAAGAGGAAAGAGGGGGCGAAGUGAAUGGGUAUGGGGGAGAAGAAACCUCCCCCUACCCCGAUAUAACCCCCUGGUCCCGUCCCUCAGCGGUAGUACCGUGCUGGGGGCGGUAGUACCGCUUAUGAGCGGUAGUACUACGCACCACCAGCGGUAGUACCACCCAGCACGCCACGGCAACCAAACAAACAAAGCUUUUGCUCGAAGGAAAGACAAAAACGGCAAGAAAAGAGCACACCAGCAAACGACCAAGACACACCUCUCAAAAGAGGGCGGUGGCCGAGGCCACCUAUGUUUGAGUCAAAAGGUAUGGCGCCGCGAAUAUUUUAACCUUGGGCCCAUGACCAAAACUUGUCUUUGAAGCACAAGUACCAUCAACAAUGGCUAAAGUGAAAGACUUGAUCAAUUUAUGCAUAAUGGGGGGAGGGAGAGUUCAUUGAGAGAACAACACUUCCCCUAUGUCCAUGCGUACACCUAAACUAGACAACAAAUUGAGCGUGGUGGGGUGUGCAAGGGUUCAAGCCACAUUGCUCGAAUCAAUGAUAUUUAGCUCAUGCCUUAACUCGCGAAAUCUUGCUUCAUCCAAGGGCUUCAUGAAAAUAUCUAAGAGGUUGUCAUGAGUGUUGACAUAGUUGAGCUCGAUCUCUCCUCGCCUAAUGUGAUCCCGGAUGAAGUGAUACUGAAUCUCAAUGUGCUUCGUCUUGAAGUGUUGCACCGGGUUGAGAGAGAUCUUGAUGGCACUUUCAUUGUCACACCAAAGAGGCACUUUGUCACAAGUGACACCGUAAUCCUUUAAAGUUUGCCUCAUCCAUAGGAGUUGUGCACAACAACUACCGGCGGCAACAUACUCCGCCUCGGUGGACGAGAGAGACACACAACUUUGCUUUUUGGAAGACCAACUUACCAAAGAGAAACCAAGGAAUUGGCACCCUCCGGAAGUGGACUUCCUAUCCACUUUGUCUCCCGCCCAAUCGGAAUCCGAGUACCCUACAAGCUUGAAGUUUGAUCCUCUUGGGUACCAUAAGCCAAAGUUUGGGGUAUGAGCCAAAUAUCGAAAGAUUCGUUUGACCGCCACAUAGUGACUUUCCUUAGGUGCGGCUUGAAACCGUGCAUAAAUUCCCACACUCAACAUGAUGUCCGGUCUAGAUGCACAAAGGUAAAGCAAGGAUCCAAUCAUGGAACGAUAUACCUUUUGAUCCACCACUUUACCAUUGGGAUCUAAGUCAAGUUGGCACUUGGUGGGCAUUGGAGUGGAAGCCGGCUUGACGUCACUUAGCUUGAAUCUCUUGAGCAUGUCUUGAGUGUAUUUGGAUUGAUUGAUGAAGGUUCCUUCUCUUCUUUGCUUCACUUCGAACCCUAGAAAGAACUUCAACUCUCCCAUGGAGGACAUCUCAAACUUUGAGGUCAUGAGAGCGGCAAAUUCCUCAUUGAAAGCUUUGUUAGGAGAACCAAAGAUAAUAUCAUCAACAUAUAAUUGGCACACAAACAACUCCCCUUUGACCUUCUUAGUAAAAAGAGUGGGGUCGAUUAGCCCAACUUCAAAACCACGGUCUUGUAACAACUCGGUAAGGUGGUCAUACCACGCACGUGGGGCUUGUUUAAGGCCAUAGAGUGCCUUAUUGAGUUGAUACACAUGAUCGGGAAAGUAGGGAUCCUCGAACCCGGGGGGUUGCUUGACGUAAACCAAUUCAUUAAUAGGACCAUUAAGAAAAGCACUCUUCACAUCCAUUUGUUGUAACUUAAAGUUAUGAUGAGAAGCAUAUGCAAUCAACAUGCGAAUGGAUUCAAGACGAGCAACGGGAGCAAAGGUUUCACCGUAGUCGAUACCCUCGACUUGGGAGUAGCCUUGUGCUACCAAACGAGCCUUGUUGCGAAUGAUAAUCCCAUGGGCAUCUUGCUUGUUCUUAAAUAUUCACUUGGUUCCUAUGACAUUGUGAUUCCCGGUUGGUCUUGGCACCAAUCUCCACACUUUGUUGCGCUCGAAGUUGUUGAGUUCUUCAUGCAUGGCAUUGAGCCAAUCCGGAUCUUCUAGCGCUUCAUAGACCUUGUGGGGUUCCACACAAGAGACAAACGUGUGAUGCUCACAAUAAUUUGCUAAUUGUCUACGAGUGCUUACCCCCUUUCUUAAGCUUCCAAGCACAUUCGUCAUGAGAUGAUCCUUGGUGGAGAGCUUGGAAGCAACCUUGGCAGCACGACGCUCUAAUUCCUCCUCGAGGGUAAGACGAGGAGUGGUCACUUGAUCAUCUUGAGCGUCGUCUUGGGCUUGUUCUUGUUCUUGAACUUGCUCGGAGGAGAGAACUUGACCUUGGGCAUCACUUGAUGUGUCAACACCGUCUUGAGCGUGAUCUUGCCCUUGGUCAUGUUCUUGAAGAUGAGGGCCUUCAUGUUGAACUUCGGAAGCGUGUGGGCCUUGGGUUGGUGGUGGCUCCACUUGAGUGGAGCUUUGUCCUUUUCCUUCGGCCAAAAGGGGUUCCUCAAUGGGUAGGAUAAAGCCAACACACAUUCUUCUUAUGGCUAGGGGAGGAAUUUCAUCACCUACAUCACAAGUGCCACUUUGCUCCACUUGGGAGCCGUUAUUCUCAUCAAACUCCACGUUACAUGUCUCCUCAAUAAGUCCCGUGGAUUUAUUAAGGACACGGCAAGCAUGAGAGUUUGUAGCAUAGCCAACAAAUAUCCCCUCAUAAGCUCUAGCCUCAAAUUUAGACAACCGAACACCUUUAUUGAGAAUGAAACACUUACACCCGAAUACCCGGAAGUACUUGAGGUUGGGCUUGUUACCGGUGAGUAUCUCGUAUGGAGUCUUGUUCAAGCCCUUGCGGAGGUAGAGCCGAUUGGAUGCAUGACACGCGGUGUUGAUGGCUUCGGCCCAAAAGUUGUACGGAGACUUGAACUCCGCCAUCAUGGUCCUUGCUGCAUCCAUCAACGUCCGGUUCUUCCUCUCUGCAACACCGUUUUGUUGAGGGGUGUAGGGUGCGGAAUAUUCAUGCUUGAUUCCCUCAUCACUAAGAAACUCAUCCAAGGUGUAGUUCUUGAACUCGGUGCCGUUGUCACUUCUUACUGUCAAGAUCUUUGCAUUGUGCUGACGUUGUGCUUCAUUUGCAAAGUCAAUGAUGGUUUGUUGGGUCUCGCUCUUCCUCUUGAAGAAAUACACCCACGUGUACCUUGAUAGUCAUCCACAAUCACCAAGCAAUACUUCCUACCUCCAAGACUAUCAAAGGAUGGAGGCCCAAAGAGAUCCAUGUGAAGGAUCUCCAAAGGCCUCUUCGAAUAAAUGAUAGUCGUGGGAGGGUGAGCCUUCUCAUGUAGCUUUCCUUCAAUACAGGCACUGCAAGCACGAUCUUUAGCAAAACUAACAUUCGUUAGUCCACGGACAUGGUCCCCCUUGAGAAGACUUUCCAAAGAUCUCAUAUUGACAUGGGCUAAACGGCGAUGCCAAAGCCAUCCCACAUCAACUUUAGCCAUUAGGCAUGUCGCGGUCUUAGUGGGUCGCUCCGAAAAGUUAAUCACAUAUAGACCGUUCUCGACAUGCCCAACAAAGGCUACUUUAAGAGUCUUGCUCCACAAGAGGGCCACGGUAUCGAUAUCAAAGAAAGUGGCAAAGCCCAUGAUUGCAAAUUGACGAACGGAAAGUAAAUUGUAUGCAAGGGACUCAACAAGCAUGACCUUCUCGAUCGUGAGAUCAUGAGAGAUGACCACCUUGCCAAGUCCCAAUACCUUAGAGGAUGAGGCGUCACCCCACUCGACAUUGGUGGGCAUAGAUGGAACCUUGUGCAUGUACACCACCAAGUCCUUGCUUCCGGUCAUAUGAUUUGUAGCUCCGCUAUCGAGCAACCAUGAUCCCCCACCGGAAGCAAACACCUACAAGAGAUCAUUGCUUGGCUUUAGGUACCCAUUUUGUAAUGGGUCCUUUGAUGUUAGUAACAAGGGUUUUUGGAACCCAAAUAGACCAUUCAAUGUAUUUAUGAGGAGAACCAACAAAUUUGGCAUAAACAUGCCCAUCACUAGCACGGCAUAACACAUAAGAAGGAUUAAAAUCGCUGGCUUUGUUGGGAGGGGUGACAUUGCCCUUCUUGACAUUGUUCUUCUUCUUCUCCUCGUAGGCACUCUCUCCCUCCUUCACAAAGGUUUGCAUGAGAGGAGGAGGUCGUUUGGUCUUGUCAUUCUUCUUCUUGUUCUUGGAGUCGGGCACGUACCCAACCCCUUCCUUGGCCACAACUCCCUUUUGGUUGAUCAAGAGAUCGUUGAGGUUCUUCUUGCCUUGUAUGCAAGUCGCAAGACCUCUCUCAAGUUACCCCUUUAGCUUAGCGUUCUCCUCAACGAGAUGCACAUGCUCACAACACGGGUUAGUAGCAUUUGCAUUAUCAAUUAACAUCAUACGAGGGAAAGUGGUUUUUUCCUUGGUUAGCUUUACUUGAAGUUGAUCAUGAGACUCUUUGAGGCUAGCAUGAGCACCCUUCAAGACCUUGUGAGCCUUGUCAAGUAUAUCAAACUCCUCUUUGAGUCUAGCAAGAACCUCAAGUUCGGCCUUUUCGGAGCUUAGCACAUAAGAAACUAUGAGGACAUGAUCAUAAUCUUUCUUUAACUUAGCAUGAUCAACGUUGUGUGACUCCUCAAGAGCCAAGCGAAGACCACGCUCUUCCUCAAGAGCAUUAGAAAGAUCCAAAAUCUCAUCGGCACAGUCACGACUAUGCCCUUCCAUCUUAGUGAUGGUGUCUUCGUGAGCCUCGAUCAUGUCAUUGGCUUCACCAAGUUGUUCCAAGAGAGCAACAAAGUGCUUCUUGGAUUUUCCCUUGAGUUUGCCCAUAAAGGCCUCAAACUCGUUAGCCUCCACAUUAGCUCCCUCAAGUUCAUUAAUGCUAUCCGUCGGAGAAGGAUGAUUAAUGAUGGUAGUUUUGAUAUUGGGGGUUACCUUGUUGGUGGCUUUAGCCAUGAGGCACUUGGAGGUGGUGCUCUCAUUGGAUGAGUCGAAGAGAGACACCCGUGAAGUCGUCGCAAUGGCAACGGAGGCCAUGGCAACCGACUCAUCAUCUUCAUCAUCAUCAUCAUCCUCAUUGUACUCUUCUUGUACAACCAAUGCCUUGGGAGGAGUCUUCUUGGUGAAGUUGUUCUUGUUGGGGAACGACUUGGCCUUGUCUUUUCGGAUGAGCUUGCCACCAUUGUCUUCCUUCUUCUCAUACGGGCAUUCCGCAACAAAAUGACUCACGUUGCUGCAAUUGUAGCAAGUCCUUACACGUUGCUUGCCCCUCGUGCCACUCGAGUUGUUUUUGCUAAAGUUUGGCCUCGAGUUUUUCUUGCUCCAAAAUUGCCUUGAAGCAAGUGUCAUGUGUUCAUGAUAUGCAUACUUCGUAUCUUCGGGGUUGCUCUCCUCUUCUUCCUCUUCUUCUUCUUCAACGGUGAGCUUGGCCUUCAAUGUAAGGUUAGGCUUCUUUGCCCGUUGAGAACGGAGCACCGCAUUGUCGGCGGUCUUGUCCAAAAUGUUCAUGGCCACAAACUCAUCCAACACUUCGCUUGAGGUCAAAGUGUGGAAGUCCGGUCUUUGACGAAUGACGGAGGACAUGGCCUUAUGGUAGGGCAUCAUUGCCUUGAGGAAUUUGCGCUUGAUCCAAUUGUCAUCCGUGUCCUUGCUCCCGUGAUCUCGUAGUGAGACCGCGAGUUUGGUUACUCUCCGAUAAAGCUCAUGAGGUUCUUCAUCUUCUUUCAUAGCAAACUCAUUGGCCUCAUCUUGCACCACUUCAAAGUUGGAGCGUUGAAUGCUUGCGCUUCCCCAGUAGAGAGAGACAACACAAUGCCAUGCAUCUUUGGCCAAGGCGAAGGGACAAAGAUGAGGUAGGUCUUCGGGUGGAAUUGCAUCUUGAAUGAUAAAGAGAGCAUUCUCAUUGAAUUGAUUAUCCGCGGCUUCUCGAGGAGUGAAGUUGCUUGGAUCAUGCGGAUAAAAACCUUCUUCAAUGAUUCUCCAAAGGUUAGUGUUCACAUGAUUUAAAUGACGUUUAAAGCAGUAAACCCAAGAAUCAAAGUCCUCAUUUUUCACAAUCUUAGGGGGAGGACCGGCAUGAUUCAAAUGAGUAGAAGGAAACGGUCCACCAUAAACAAGUGGUGGUUCCACAUGAGCAAAGAUGUCGGUGCCAUUUUUACCACUAGAAGAUGGAGCCUUUUCACUACUAGCUUCCCCCUUGUCAGGGAUAGCAUCCGUCACCUUGUUGGUGGGAUCACACACUUUCAACGGUGCGAUGGAAAGUUUAAGCCCCUCAAGAAAUUUAGUAAACAUGCUUUCAACCUCGGUCUUCAUGGAGGUCUUCAAUGUCUCUAAGGCCAUAUUGAAUUCCUCACGAGAGAUCGAGGUUCCCCCAUCGCCCGUGGACGAGAUCGGAUUCACACCGGAGUGUUCCUCCACACCGUCUACGGUAUCAACCAUACUCUUUGGACGGUAAAGUCCUUAAUAAAGAGACGAGGCUCUGAUACCAAUUGAAAGGAUCGAUAUGGUUGACUAGAGGGGGAGUGAAUAGGAAACUAGCAAUUUUUAACUUUUCUUUAUCAAAUUAAACUUUGCAUCAAAGUAGGUUGUCUAGAUGUGCAACUAGGUGAGCAACCUAUAUGAUGCAAUACCAACAAGCAAACAAGCAAGCAAGAGAAGUAACACUAAAGAGCUUGCACAAGUAAAGGUAAGAGAUAACCAAGAGUGGAUCCGGUGAAGACGAGGAUGUGUUACCGAAGUUCUUCCCUUUGAGGGGAAGUACGUCUCCGUUGGAGCGGUGUGGAGGCACGAUGCUCCCCAAGAAGCCACUAGGGCCACCGUAUUCUCCUCACGCCCUCACACAAUGCGAGAUGCCGUGAUUCCACUAUUGGUGCCCUUGAAGGCGGCGACCGAACCUUUACAAACAAGGUUGGGGCAAUCUCCACAACUUAAUCGGAGGCUCCCAACAAAACCACGAAGCUUCACCACAAUGGACUAUGGCUCUGUGGUGACCUCAACCGUCUAGGGUGCUCAAACACCCAAGAGUAACAAGAUCCGCUAGGGAUGAGUGGGGGAAUCAAAAAUCCCUUGGUGGAAGUGUAGAUCGGGGCCUUCUCAACCACUCCCGAGUAAAUCAACAAGUUUGAUUGGCUAGAGAGAUAGAUCGGGCGAAAAUGGAGCUUGGAGCAUUUAAUGGAGCUUGAGCAAUAAAUGGAGCUUGGGGGAGGAAGAGGUAGGUGGAAGAGAAGAAGGGGACUCCCUUUUAUAGUGGGGGCAACAAUCCAACCGUUGCCCCUCACCAACCAGCCCCGCACAGGGCGGUACUACCGCUGAGAGGGGGCGGUACUACCGCCAGUUCAGCGGUACUGCCGCGCCAGCCAGCGGCACUGCCACGCAAAGGAGACUAGUAGGGAAUAGGACCCAACGCGGUACUACCGCGGUGGUAGGGGCGGUACUACCGCUCCUGGAACGGUACUACCGCCUCUACAACCGCAACUAGUGCCGCAAAACCCGACACGAGAAAAAGACCCCUCGAGUCGAGGCGGUAGGAGCCACACAACCCAGUGGUACUACGGCAGCGGGGUCACGGGCGGUACUACCGCCGUGGAGCGGUACUGCCGCUUGUGACCCUUCGGCCGUACUACCGCUAGUAGUGCGGUACUACCGCUGGGGCACAGAAAAGAGAGAGAGAAUCUCUCCAAAGAGGUUGAGGACGAGGCGGAGGUGACAGGCACCCCAGCGGUACUACUGCUGUGGAGCCACGGGCCGUACUACCGCUGUAGAGCGGUACUGCCGCUUGUGGCUCCUCAGUGGUACUACCGCUGGGUUGCACGGUACUACCGCUUGGACCCAGACAGGACAAGGAAGAGAGGAGAGAUCUCUACAAUGGAAUGGAAAAGCUCGGAGGGUGAGAAGCUGAUGUGUACGUGUUGAUUCCACCCAUGCAAUACCCCAGCGGACCCCCUCUUGAUAGUACGGUGCCCUCUACGCAACUAGUCCACCGAGAAAGAAACGAAAGAGCUACACCGUCUUGAAAUACACUCCGAGCGGAAGAAAACGUCUCGUGCCAGGGGAGAAUCUGUGAAUUAUUCAAAGCACAAGAUUAGUCCGCAAACAUGUUGUCAUCAAUCACCAAAACUACCUUGAGAGAGAUAUGCCGUAACAAUGCUGCCGUCUCAUUCCCGCGAUCAUCGUCACUACUCUUCGAUUACUCGUGAUGGCGCGGGUUGUGGCUUCCCGCUUGCUCUCUCAUAAGAGUGGUUGGGUAAACCCCAAGUGUAAGGACAGAGUAACCUAGUAAUAAGCAUUUUCCUCGAUAGGUUUAUCGAACCAGUAGGAAUUUAUUUCACAACCCAAGUCCUCGGUACCUGCACACCAAACACAAAACAAUCUUGCCCCCAAUGUUUCAAGAAGGUUGUCAAGCUUCUUGUCCUGCUAGUUACAGGGAUUAGUUGUUAGUUGAAAGCAAAUAUCGGUUGCUAAGUAGCCUUAGUGCGGUUCGUACCUUCAAAUCUGGCAUGGCACUGUCAACACUAUACUUGCCAUGCUUAGGGUUCACCCUUUUUAUAUACAGUAAGAUUAGCCUAGGUGCUUCGUGUCGUACUGGCACUAAUCCAGCCAUCAAUAUAAACGAAAUGCCAUCCAUAAUUUCAAAGCUUAGUUGUUCAAGUACAAAUCUGAUAUGGUACUAAUAUUAGUUUAAAAUAGACAUAGGUAGUUGGUCAGCCAAUGUUCCUUCUUGAGUUUCAAAAUACAUGUACACCACUUAUAGAGAGACAUGAGUGAAUAUUAUUUUUUGUGUGAUCUCGUCCAUCAUGGAUGGGCAACGAACAUUGCAUUGUAUAGAAAGAAGGGUUAUAACCACCUUUUACAUAGAUGGUGAUUUGCCUACGUGCUUUGUGUCGCAAUAGCAACACUCCACCCUUCAAGCUAAACAACAUGUCACUCAUAAUUUCGGAGCUUAUUUGUUCAAAUACGAAUUUGAUCGAUACUGAUAUUAGUUAAACAGACACAUUUAAUUGUCAGCUGAUGUUCCUACUUCAGUUUUGAAAUGUUUGUCCGCCCCUUAUAGAGAGACAAGAGAGGUUUGUAUUUCUCUAUGCACUCUGGUCAUCAUGGUUGGGGGAUGAACUUUGUAUAUCAUAUAGUUUGAAACUAUCAUCUACCAAGAAUCAUCACUUCUGGAGAUCUCAACUGGGAGCCUUGUUUAAGUACUAGGGCCAUAUUAUAUUAAUGCACGCACCAAAUUACAACUCACAUAGCAUCUCUGGGCAGACUUCCAGAGAUAGUACGCAUGGGUUUAUAAGGAGGCACUAUUGGGGUAGAAUCCGCGAUGCAUUUGUGACACCCCGAUUCGGAGAACUGGAGGUCCCCGCGUUCCAGCCCAGAAAUCCAUUCUUCUGGAACACGACUAUAGCUUGGUACAGAAAGACCAAAAUAAAUAAGUACUUAUGUAGAUUAAGGGGACACGUCUAAGUGUCAGAAGCUCGACGACUUUAUUCUACGAGUGACUUAAGGAAGUACUAAAGACGAAAAUAAUACUAAUGACACAACGGAAGACGGGGUACCGGCGGGGCUCCAAUCCAAAGAGACACUGUUGGGACACCAUCUAGUCCAGGUACACGAACUCUUCGGGGAACUCUUCUAUCGGCUAUCUAGUAUCUAGCCUGAUAAGCCAUGUGAGUACUUUGAAUGUACUCGCAAGCUCAAAAACAAUCCAAAGCAAGCAUGAACAACGCAAAGAAACAUAGCAACGAAGUAAAGACUAGUAAAGCUACUACUAUCAAGACUACUUCAUAAACUUCUCGUCUGCUCGUUUAACGUCCACUAGACCUCUUCCUGGAACGAGUCCUGCUCAAACGACUCGUCAACAUAAGUUACCUGUUACCACAGUUAUUAGAGUUUAAAGUAAAGGAAUUUGGGUACUUGGUCAAAUAGUGUGACCUAACACAAAUGGUGUCCCAUUGUCGGAGACUCAGCUAUUCGAAUAGUUUCAACACACACUCUGCAAAGGUCACACACUUUAAUUUACGAACACCAUAGACUCUUUGUCUAACGAAUCUCAUUUAUAGCAUGGCACUCUAACUAUUCCUCUGACCUCCUACAGGCUAGCCCUGGGAGAGAGGAUCUGGGUCCUUGCCAUCCCAUGUGGCACCACUUGUAUUCCCUUGGGAAUAUUUUCUGUUGAGCUCAUCCACAGACCCAGACUAUCUUGACUAAAUGGCAACUUCCAAGCCAGAGGAAGCCUACACAUUCUAGCUUCCGUCUUCGGAGACACAUGAAACAUACAUAACUACAAACGGAAUAAGGCCCUCCCAUUCGGGAAGAUGUGGCUAUACUGAGGUUGUUCCGCUUCGUGGCACUUGGAUUGACCAGCUAUUUAAAGUUGGGUUAAGAAGGAAAGUAAAACCAUAACUUUGUACUAGCUACUGAAAUCCACAACUUGUUAUCUUACUAGGGUGAAGUAUUCAUGAGGAUUCAUCAUCCUAAGUAAAGGCUUUCCCCAAGAACCUUCAUGAACGUUGCUACCUAUUUAGCUUAUGAUUCAUGUUCGCAAAAUAAUUACCGGUUACGAGUCAUAGUUAAACUUCUAUUCCACUAGGACCAAAUAAAGGUAUCCUUUCUAGUGACUCACUAUGCUAUUUCAACCACAACAAACUUGACAUAAGCAAAGGGAAGCAACAAAUAACAAUGAAAGAAAAGUAAUGCGGGAAAAGAAAUGCAAGUUGAACCCAUGGCCUUGCAAUGCCAUCAAGUUGAACCUAUAGUGCUAUAGCCAUGGCUCACGCUCAUGUAUUGCAUGGAGCUGAAAAUGCUGAAGCGCCUUAGAAGUACGAUCCAUUUGCCUGGUUUGACACCGGGGUGCUCAUGAUUUAUAUUUAUGCAAUGAAGGCGGAGUCAUGACAUGCUAACAUGAUAAAAAUGAGUGGGGAUAACAUUCGUUAAGGAUCGUAUAUUUUGAAAAAGUAAUGAUUAUGUUUCUUAUAUUCAUGGAUAUUAUUAUGUUGAUAUUGUUACUUCAUUCUUUCUCAAUAACUAUACCAUAAAGAGAUUACAUGAUACACAUGUUAGGUAGCAUUACACAUCAAAAAUUCUGUUUUUAUCAUUUACCUAUUCGAGGAUGAGCAGGAAUUAAGCUUGAGGAUGUUGAUUCGUGUCCAACGUAUCUAUAAUUUUUUAUUGUUUCAUGCUAUUAUAUGAUCAAUAUUGGAUGCUUUAUAUGCAUUUUUAUACUAUUUUAUAUCUUUUUUGGACUAACCUAUUAUUUUGAAUUUUUUUGAAUUGUUUGUAUUGCUUACCACACGUGUCACGUGGUUUGGGACUAACCUAUUAACCCAAUGCCCAGUGCUAGUUCAUGUUUUUUUCUUGUUUUUUGCUCUUCAGAAAAUCAAUACCAAAUGAAGUCCAAACAUGAUGAAACUUUACAACAAUUUUUUCUGGACCAGAAGGGGCCCUAGAAGGUUUGGGAGGAGGCUAGAAGAUCUACGGAAGAGCCACGGNNNNNNNNNNNNNNNNNNNNNNNNNNNNNNNNNNNNNNNNNNNNNNNNNNNNNNNNNNNNNNNNNNNNNNNNNNNNNNNNNNNNNNNNNNNNNNNNNNNNNNNNNNNNNNNNNNNNNNNNNNNNNNNNNNNNNNNNNNNNNNNNNNNNNNNNNNNNNNNNNNNNNNNNNNNNNNNNNNNNNNNNNNNNNNNNNNNNNNNNNNNNNNNNNNNNNNNNNNNNNNNNNNNNNNNNNNNNNNNNNNNNNNNNNNNNNNNNNNNNNNNNNNNNNNNNNNNNNNNNNNNNNNNNNNNNNNNNNNNNNNNNNNNNNNNNNNNNNNNNNNNNNNNNNNNNNNNNNNNNNNNNNNNNNNNNNNNNNNNNNNNNNNNNNNNNNNNNNNNNNNNNNNNNNNNNNNNNNNNNNNNNNNNNNNNNNNNNNNNNNNNNNNNNNNNNNNNNNNNNNNNNNNNNNNNNNNNAAAACACAUUUUUUUGCAACCACAAGCUUCUGUUCUUCCAUGAACCCAUCUGGAGGCCUUUUUCGGUACUCUGCCGGAGGGGGAAUCGAUCACGGAGGGCUUCUACAUCAUCCUUGCUGCCUUCUGAUGAUGCAUGUGUAGUUCACAACAGAUCUAUGUGUCCAUAUCUAGUAGCUAGAUGGCUUCAUCUUUCUCUUUGAUCUUCAAUACAAUGUUCUCCUCGAAUUCUUAGAGUUAUAUCCUAUGUGAUCUUCUUUUGUGGUGUGUUUAUUGGGAUGCAAUGAAUUGUGUGUUUAUGAUCAAAUUAUUAAUUGAAAGUAAUUGGGUCUUUUCUGAACUUUAUUAUGCAUGAUUUUUAUAGCUUCCUAUUACCCUCCGAUCAAUUCAUUUCGUUUGGCCAACUAGAUUGACUUAUCUUUAGUAGGAGAGGUGCUUUGUAAUGGGUUCAAUGUUGCGGUGUCCUCACACGGUGACAGAAGGGGAAGCGAGGCACAUAUAGCAUUGUUGCCAUUAAGGAUAAAACGACGGGGUUUAAUCAUAUUUCUUGAGUUUACUUUGUCUACGUCAUGUCAUCUUGCUUAAGGCAUUCUCUGUUUGUUAUGAACUUAAUACGAUAGAUGCAUGCUGGAUAGCGGUUGAUUGGUGGAGUAAUAGUAGUAGAUGUAGGCAGGAGUCGAUCUACUUGUCAUGGACAUGAUGACUAUAUACAUGAUCAUUGCCAUGAAUACGUCAUAACUAUGUGUUUUUGUAUCAAUUGCCCAAUAGUAAUUUGUUUACCCACAAUAUGCUACGUGUUCGAGAGAGAAGCCUCUGGUGAAAACUAUGACCCCCGGAUCUACUUUUAUCAUAUUAUUAAAACCAAAAAUACCUUCAUACAAUUUUAUACUUUUUAUUUUACUUUUCUUUUUAUCUAUCUAUCACUAUCAGAAUUAAUCCUUGCAAAUAACGAGUUUAAGGGGAGUGACAAUACUCUUGCCGUGUUGGGUGCAAGUAUUUGCUUUUGUGUGUGUAGGUGCUAAAAAAGGGAAUUUGCGUGGUUCUCCUAUUGGUUUGAUAACCUUGGUUUUCACUGAAGAAAAUACUUAUCUCUAUUGUACUACUUCACCCAUCCUCUUCGAGGGAAAUCCCAAUGCAGUUUACAAGUAGCACUACUCCUCCUUCCUCCAUAGACACUUGGCGAAGCCCUGCCACAGCUCCACCACAAAAUCCACCACCACGCCAUUGUGUUGGCCUAGAUCUCGUCUACCGAUCCUGUUGCUUGCUGGAUGAAGAAGGAGACAUCACCGAGCCAUACAUGUGCAUAUCUCGGAGGUGUCGUUCGUGCGGUGCUGGAUCGGAUUGGAUCACGGAAAGUGUACGACUACGCCAACCACAUUCAUUAGAACGUUUCUGUUUUAGGUCUACAAGGGUUUGUAGACUUUUUCCCCUCGUUGCUAGCAUCUAGUUGAUUAGAUCUUUUUUUAGAAAAGGAGGAGGACCCCUGGCCUCUGCAUCUGGGUGAUGCAUACGACCACUUUAUUAAUUAUUCUCACAAGACCUUAUAAAGUCAUACAACAGUAAGACUAAAGCCACCGUCUAAGCAACAACUGUCGCUAGUCCUAUCCAAUUGAUGAAGAGGCGCUGAUAGCAUGAGCGUAAUACCAAACAGACAUCACAGUCAAACCUAAACAUCUAAGAACUAAGGUCCCAACCAGGACGCCUGCCGGGUAUGGGGCAUCUACCAGUCCGGCGCACUCCUCAACCAGGACGCCUGCCGGGUAUGAGGCCGCCGCAGUCACCUGCCACUAAUCCAUCUUCAGUGUUGUACUGAUGCAUCCACCUUACUCGGUAUAGCUGCCAUCGACGCUACCACGACGCCAGACAACGUCACCCUCCUGCGCGAGUCCAUCAUCGCACAUCAGACUCCUAAUCUCCAGGGCGCCAUGCCAGCGAGAUCUGUCACCAUCCAUGUGUAUGAUGAACCACCGCUCCACCAAAAGACGUCGUCCACUGGUCCCUCGAGCCUGCGUACACCUCCAAGAAAGAUGCCCCCAAGGGGGAAACGACACAAUCGCGCCGCCGUCUUCUGAUCUAUCGAUCUAGGGUUUUCCCCGGAGGUAGCAGAUAGUAGUCUAGAACUUCUCCGCUGCGAUGCCUUCAAGAUGGGAACGAUGUCGUAGAGCGACGUCACCGCCGGCUUUGGCAUCUAGGAAAGAGCAGGUUUUCACCCAGAUCUGUUGGAAGAACUCCAUCCAGCUUCUUGUGCACGGACCGCCGCCUUCUCUGUCGGAGACUAGAUCAAAAGGAUCUAGCCGCCGCCAGAUCCAUGCAGCCAGCACCGGGAGAUGACGACAGUCUCCCUGUACCAGAGCUAGCACGAACCGGAGCAUAUCGAGUCGGAGACGAUGAUACUCCUGGAUCUCCGGCAGACCAGCGAACCGCCGGCACCACCGUGUCCAGAUCGCCGGCCACGCCGGGCCGCCGCCACCCCCGCGCCGUCCGGUAGUCACCAGAUCCGGGAUGAGCUGGAACCGGUUGGACCAACGGGCGCACCGCCACCCAGCCAUGGGGUCGCCGCCCCGGCCACCGCCGCCCCCUGUGCAUCCGGCCGAUUCCCACCGGCACCACCACAGCCGCCGCCGCUGGGACGCCACGCCGCCGUGGGCUGAAGUGGGGGCCGCACCUCCGCGGAUCUGGGCGCCCACGCCACCCAUGGAUCCGGGGGAGAGGGGAGAGGCCCUCCUCCAUCGUGUCGCACGCACGGGCUUUGCCCGGCGCCGACUACCUGCGGCGGCGGAGGGGAGGUCGGGAUGUGGGGAGGGUCACUGCGGGCGGAGGUUGGCCUUCCGUGUUGCCCGCGAGGGGGGCGACGCGAGAGGGUAGAUAGAUUGAUUGAUUGAUUGAUUGAUCAGUUGAUUAGAUCUUGGAUGUUUUCAUUGUCUCGUAGGAAAAUAAAUUAUUUUUCAUGCAACGAUUCCCAUCACCGACCUGCUUCAAAAGAAGCAUGUAGGAGCUCAGGCGGCCCGGGCUCAGCAAGUUGCCGGACGGGAGGUCCCUAAGAGGUGCAUCCAAGAAUGCAACAACCUCCGAGUAGAGAAGGCGUCCCUAACCGAGAGAACGAGACAACAAGAGCUGGAGCUGGUGGAAGUUAAGAGGUUGUUUGAUUUUAGGCCUAACCAUGCCACACUUUGCCAUACAAUGUUGUCACAUUUGUAUAAGGUUAGUUCUUCAAAAUGAGAGCCACAAGUUGACAAGUCUAAGAAAAUCUUUCCACACUUUUUGAGUGUAUGUGAUGUGGGGCCCUAGUGUGGCUUGUUUAAGGUGUGGCUUGAAUCAAACAUUCACCUAAGUUGGUCAAACUUGUCUAACCUUAAAUGUGGCAACCUUAAGCAAACUUAAUCGCAAACCAAACAGCCCCUAAGUCUGGCCUGGCCGAUGCCGAGAGCGAUGCGGCAGGCCCUUGAGAUCAUAGUCAGUGAGUUUUUCCGUGCUUCAACUCAUAAUCUAGGUGGAAAUUUUAUUUGCCGAUCUGACAUAGAAAUUCAUUACUUCCGGCAUCUUUUUCCGACCUGCCAGUCAGUGCUGCUGGAGCGUCCCUUAGGAAGAAACCGCAGCAGCUUGGAGAGUUGAACAAGAUCGCAAGGCGGGAAAUGCAGGGUAUUUUCAAGGCCCUAUGGCCUGGAGAAAGGUUGUCGGAAAACCAGUUUGACCUCUCCCGCCGCCUCCAGGAGGGGCAUGCUCGGAUUGCCCUGUGAAAGGCGUCAGUGGCCUGAGGAGAUGCUCGUCAAGCUUGGGCCAUGUUCCAGACCCACUAUCCGGGCUUGAACAUCUGCCCUAUUGCCCUAGUUGGUCCAAAAGGACCUGACGGUAAGGAGAUUAUGCCUAAUGGCAAUUUCCAACGGGUCAUUCCCUAUGCUAGGAUGUCCGAGCAGGUUUGUCGUUUGGAAAAUAUUAUUGAAUAGGCUAGGAUCGGUUACCCUGGAAUGUCAAGGACGAAAAGUUGUAUAGAAACCUCUCGAAUUUUGCUUCAGCCAUGUUUAUUUUUCUCUAUACCAACAACAUGAUAGGUUUGCUUCGACCUGUUUAGCGUAUGCUUGCAUUAACCGGCCUUUGGCUUCAGCCUCCGCAACCAAACGGGAAGGCCUUAUAAUUGAUGUUAACGCAAGGAGUAGGAAUCGUCCUGCAACUAGGAUGCAAACAUAUCUAUGAAUAUAUGAAAUCUCUCCCAAGGAUUAAGUGGGGGUGUGUCCGACUUGUUGGCUCAUGAAGACCUCGAGCAUUUGAGAAAGCUCAUCAUCGGGAUAUACAGGGAAAGUUUUGCAAUACAAAGUAUAAAACACGAUAAAUUCCCCAUCCUAGUAUAAAACAUGAAGCUCAUGGAACUCUAAUUAGAUGCUAAUUAUCCAGACCAACAAAAGUUCUUUAGUAAGGGUCUCUGACAAGAAUAUGUUUCAUCGAAAGUGUCCUCAGAUCGAGCUCAUAUGAGCUCGAGUGAACAGUAAAAUCUGAAAAAAAAAUUGAAACGAAAUUACAAAAAAAAUUGCAAUUUUUUGGUGACAAAUGUUUUCAAUGCUUGCAAAGUUUCAUCAUUUAAUGACAUUUGUGAAAGUCGUGGCCCAAAAAACAAAAUUGAUACUUCAAAAAAGUUAUUUUCAAAGUGCUGAAUUUGUUUUUUGCCAUGACAUCCACGAAUGUCGUUCUAUGAUGAAACUUUGCAAGCAUUUAUAACAUUUGUCAAAUUUUGCCACAAAAAACAGAAAAUUUUGAAUUCUUUCUAAGUAUUUUCAGAUUUUAUUGUUCACCCGAGCUCAUAUGAGCUCGAGCUCAGUUAAUCUGUGUCCAUGCUUCAUCCUAUUCUACUAGCAAAAACCAAUGGAGCAGAUGGUAAUGACGUGGAAAAGAAACAAUAAGACUUUUGUAGUGAUAUAAGUAAAGAAACUGAAAUUUGCAAUUGCAAAUCAGGGAAUCUUAAUGUCAAAUACUGAAUUCUCCACCCACUAGCUGUGAGGCAUAUCCAUUGCAGUGCCAAAUAAAGAAACUUUUCCUUUUUUGCGGGAAAAAAGAAUUAAUAACAGCAAGACAAUGGUCCGCGUGUUGUAUAUAACAAAUAUUACACAGGUUUUGCAUAUGGAUAGCCGGUGUAUAUAGACCUAUGAGGAAUUAUGUAUGCAUGCUCGAGAACAUAGGUUCCUACAUACAUACACAAAUCAUAUAGAACAAAAGGUAUGCUCCGGUCGGAAAGCAGAGUCGUGCAACAGAGGUCGUGGACAAAAGUGAAAUUCACAAAAGAUCUUCAUAUGAGAUAGGCCAUUGUUUCAACUCAUAGUUUAGGCCUUGCCGGACUCCUCGCAACCCGGUGGCCUGAAGGCGAUGAAGCUGACGCACUGCACCUGGCGCAGGUUGUCGAAGCCGAUGACGCGGACAUAGGCGUCAGGGUACUCCUUCUUGACCUCCUCCACCUCGUUGAGCACCUGUGUGGCGUCGGUGCACCCGAACAUAGGCAGCUUCCACAUUGUCCAGUAUCGACCGUCGUAGUACCCGGGGGAGCUGUUGUGCUCACGGAAGACGAAGCCAACCUUGCUGAACUCGAGGCAGGGCACCCACUUGGAGCGGAUCAGGUAGUCGACCUGCUUCAGGAGGGCUUCCGUGGAGAGGGGUGGCAAGUAAGACAGGGUCUCGAACUUCUUGAUGCCCUCAAUUGGCCACACCUGAAUGAAUAGAAUGCGAACAGAUGCUCAAUACUUGGUGAUGAGUCAAUUAAUUGUACUAACAAUGCUAGAAAAAAUCAGUCGACAAGCCAAAAAUUGCUCCUUAUGGGCAGCUCUCAUAUGCAUUGCUGGGUUGUUCACAAUCAAUAAAGCUUUGGUUAUACUUAGUUCUAGUAUAUGGGUCCUAUUUCGAGGAUGGGUUUGGUUAUAUACAUUGGGGAUGUUCUGUAAGUGAAUUACUUGCACUGACAAAGAAACUCGUAUCAGUUUAAUUAGUGCCCCAACAUACCUGCAUGCACCUGAUCCUUCCGCCGUUGCUGACGCUGCCGAGGCUGCCGCUGGAGCGGCGGCUGACGGGCAGGCCGGCUGUGGACUUGAGCCCCUGGAAGGGUGCGACGGUGGUAGCCGACGAAGCCAUCACGGCGGGGGCCAUGGUAUUUGUAUUAUCGGAGGAGAGGAGGAUGCCGGCUACAGUUGAGGACCCCAUUGCCGGGUCACCACGGUAUAUAUAGCCCCGUUUCUUUGGUACAGAUGUGGUUGGGAUGGCUCACGUUCGCUGGUUGCCUCGUUUCCUUAUCUUCUCCGGAUCAGUGGAAGAAGCAUUGCCGUCGGAUACAUUGUGUGUGCUGGAAAUUUCAGUCCUUCAUGUCAUUAGGUGGCUGCCACACAACCUUUUUCUAGCUUUGCUUGUUUUUGGGUGAGUUCCUUGAUAACAAAUUGUCCGAGGAUGCGACUGAGUUGGCUGGGCAAAAUAUUUCAUUUUAUCAUAAAAUUUGCUGGCUCACUCUUGAAAGUAUGCUCAUAGGCAUAUAGUGUGCGGGUGUGCAAUCAUAGAGGGUGGUGUACAUACGUGUAUGUGAAUGUCUACAUUUAUACAAUGUUUGUCAAAAUAAAAUAUAUGUUUUCUUGGUAGAAUUAACUGAACUAGCAUAGUAAAAUAUAUGUUUCCCCCCUCCAUAUCCGUCGAUGUGCCUAUGGAUUCGCCUCCCCUUGGAGGGAAGGAAAUUCUCUGUAAAGAAGUAGUGAUCUAAACACUCUUAUAUUUAUUUACGGAGGGAAUAGGAUUUUAGUUCUCGUAGGAGUGGCGCUUGGACAGAUGGCGGCCCUUCUUUUUUGAGUCAAUCUUCCGGGAUCCGGUCGUCUUCAAGUUCCUCUGUCUAGACGGAUUAGAUGGAGGUCCGACGUAGAUUCCUUCCCGCUCCUCGGGCAUAUGCAAAACGAGAUUUGGUGUCAGGUUCUUUAGACCGAUUCAGGGAUUCGACGACUAUGACUACGGCUCCAGAGCGUUCAUUCUUAGGGGCGUGUGCAUGAAGACUUCCUCGCUGCCAUCGACAAGGUCUGGCUAGAUCUAGUGUGGAAGCAAAGACAACGGCUCGUUUUGACGGAGGCAAUGGUCGUUCGGUGUCGUUCGAUGGUCCAUAGACCUAGAUGCACUUUUUACUAUGUUUGAGGUGCUUUCUACUUUCGGUGAAUCUUUUCUUUUAGGGCAAGUGCUCUGCCUUUUCAUUGAUGUUUAGGAAGGUAUAGCGGAGGGCUAAAGUGCCAAAGGAAAGAAGAAAAACAUGAGAAAACCAGAAAAGAGAUCCAGUUGCACAAAACACUGAUGUACAAAGCGCUAGCCUAAGGCGCGACUUUCGGUGUAUCUUUAUAUUAGAUUUUAUUCUUUACGCAAAAAAAAGGAAAUUGAACUAGGAGGUAAAAGCACUAGAGGUCCUAGAACUUGUCUAACAUGUGAUGGUUUAGUCCUAAAACUUGCAAAAGUGAACUAUGUAAUCCUAUAACUUGUACACAACGUGCAAAUUUAGUCCAAAGCUGCGGCCAAGUGGCGCCAGCUGGCCUGUUCAGGUCGUUGUGUUCCAUUUUGCAUAUACCCCCUUUUUGUCAAAUUAACCCGCAAGUACUAGUAAAACACGGGGCUAGCUGCAGCAGUAGGGCUAGCUAGUGCGGCUUUGAGAAUUGAGAUUGGUUCAUCAUGUCAAACUGCAAUCUCCCUUCCAAUCAUCAAACACAUUAAGAUACGCAGGUUGGGCGCUUCCUAGGCUAUGCCACGUCAGAUAGCUGGAAGACAAAACAGAUCGCUGCAAAAAAAAGGAUUGCUGGGAGAAAAAAUGAUGGUCGGUUGGGCAGCCGCCAGAUAACACAUGCCUCUCGAUCUGCUUUUCCUUUCUCACUAAGCAAUCUCCAAUUCCACACGCAACCUCGUUGUCGCAUCGCUCUCCUCAACGACUGCUACGCGUCCAUGCGCCGCCACCGCCGCCACUUCUCCCGCGCCUUCUCCUCCCAGUUCCUCUCUGCCCUGCGGCGCCUCCUUGACCACCUAUCUCCUCCUCUGGGGGCACUACUUUCAGUUUACCAUUCCAAUUGGAUGGUCCACAACAUUGAUCCAUAUUUUGUAGGAACACUUAUAUUGUUGAAUUGAACUUGAUAUCAAAGUGUUUAGUUUAUAAAUAAUUUCUAUAAGUGAUACAUCUUUCAGUGUAAAUACAUUUUUUUCUCAAGAUUACUUGGGGAAAAAAUAGCAGACAUCAAAUGAAAUGUAUAAUUUUUUCAUCUGAAAAUCAGAUGAAAGCCACGGAAAGACCCCAAAACAUCAUAUUAAGAUCACCAUUGACUGUCCAAAUCUAAGUCCACCGCAUUCGUUAUAAAGAAAUUCUUUUCCAUGAAACUAAACCACGCCAACACUAAAAUUCAUGAACGAAAGUCAUCCAUAAUAUUAUGUUUCAUUAUAUGAGACGCUAGUUAUUUCGUCAUUUAAAGUGAUGAUAUGGCUCCACCGUGGUAUUAGAUGUGGCCUUUCCUAUGACGAUGUGGUAUCAUCAUUUUUUUUCUAAUCUAACAAAAAGUCUUACAUAUUGGUCUCACAAUCCGAAAACUCUCCUUUGCACGCACGCGUUGGGACGGGUGAAGCGCUCCGCACAAGAAGUCAGGUUCCGACCGUGCGCUAUAUUCUUUUCCAAACUUUGGCAUGUCGUUUAACUGAGAAUGGUGGCCCCACAUAGUAUCGCAGCCCACUGUCAUGGAACUAAAUGUGUUGGGCUCACCCCACAUGUUACAUGCAUUCACGGAAGGGCUAGUUGUGGUGCCAUCUUGGUUUUCACUUCAGUGUGAUUUCUUUGAUUUCACUGAAUUUUAGUAAUUUCAGUAGACACAGAAAUAUUUACCUUUGAAUCAGAAUAUUUCAGUCAUUUCAGUUGUACACAUGAAUUCAAAUACUUUUCAAAAUAUCUUUAAAUAUUUUUUUGAAUUUCAAGUGAAUAUUUUGGUCUUUUGGCCAAAAUGCAAGCUGAAAUUACUGAAAUUCAGUAACUUUGAUAGGUACUGAAACAACAGUAGUGUUUUUGCCUGAAUAUGAAUUCUGUCAUGAAACAUAUAGGGUUUUGACCUCCGAUGUAGGUUCUAUAACAAAAUCAAUAGUUUCGUCAUGGAAGGACCUAUGUUUAUGACAAAAACACAAAACAUCACAGAUAAUUCAUCAUAGAAGGCCAAAACUUUACUAGUAGAAGAUAUCUUGGGACUCGUCAAUUGGAUAUGUAAUUUGCACAUAUUUGUCUCGUCCACACGUUCUCUGGUUUAUUGGAAUUGUUGCAAUACUGUAAAAAAAUAGUAUCUAAUUGUGGUGUAAAAUGGUUAGAAAAAGUGACACGUCUUUGAAGAAUCGAUGAUGGAAUAUGCCUCACAAGACAAGUGCACUAUGGUAGUUUGUCCUUGUCUUGUUUUGACACCUGUUGUUUGUCCUUUUUCUAGUUUUUAAAUUUUAGUUUUUGGCUUUUUAUUAUUAUAUGGUUCUCAUCAAUGUCCUACUGUUUUGCCACUAGUUUUCAAUGGGGUCUCACCAUCUCUUUAUGUGUUUCCCACAACAAUUUUUUGAAGUACUUUGGUAUUCCAUAAGAAUUUUCGCAUUAGAUAAUACACAGCAUAUGAUUGAGCAAAAAAUGUAAGAGAACAAAACAUUGCAAGGCAUAGGCAUUCGCAUUUCCAGUUGCAAACAAAGUUUCCUUUCCAUCAAUUGAUGGCAAGACAAUAAUCUGCGGAUUGCAUAUAAUAUAUAUGUGUAUGUGUAGCCGGUGCUAUAAUUCUGACAUGCAUCCUCCUCGACCUACGUUGGUAGGUGCUUACAUAUGCUCAUAUAUUCACAUAUGAGUAGAACCAGAAAUAAAACCGAGAAAACAGAGCUGCUGACAAAUGUUAACUAACAUGGCAUGUAUCACUACAAGAAAUAUGUUGAUCCAUGACGGAUUUCGCAUGACGUUUUUGAAAUCUGUCAUGAAUGGCCCGGUAUAGCCCCGCAAGCCCGCUAAAGCCCGCCAAAGCCCGCCUAACCAUUCACGUAUAAAACCCAAACCCUAAGUGUCUCUCCUCUCUCUGUCUCUCCCUUCGUCGCAACCCCCCUCCCGAUUCCCCAUCUCCUCACACACAUCGCCGCCACCCACCACCACAUCGCCUCCUCCCACUGCUCGUCGCCAGCCCUUCCCUUCCUCUCACCUCGCUGCUACGGCGGCUGCUAGAUCCGCCGCAACCCCCACCAAUCCAUCUCUCGUGCGACCCAUCUCUCCCUCUCCCGCGAAUCAUCGCGCCGCCACCAAGAUCCGCCGAUUCCGGCGAUGUCCGCCACCGUGCUGCACACUCACGAGCUCAUCUCCGACCCCUCCGCCCUCCAGCCCGGCUGGAUCCGCCGCUCCCAGCCCCCUGCACUCGCACUCAACCCCUAGCCAAUGUCUAGGGUUUCAGCUACGGCGGCGCGUCUGUCACUGGCGCGUCUCCAACAGCACCACUUCGUCGUGCAACGCGCCCCCUCGCGCCUCUCCGCCUCCCCCUAGCUCAGUGUGCUCGCCUGUGUUGGGCUGGACGGCGGUGACCCCGACCCCCUCUUCCGCGUCUCCGGCGCAGCGGCGCGUCCCAUGGCAACCUCCUCUGUCACGCGAGACGGCGUCUGACCUGCACUGCGACCAUUGCAUUGCUUACAAAGGUCUCCAGUGAGCACUGCGACCUCUACCUCCCUCUUCUCCUUGAUUCAGCUUGAUUUUGUAUCUUUCCUCUCAAGAAUUGAUGAUUUAAUAUUUACAAACAUUAAUCCCUCUGUUAUAGAAUUUAUAGUCUAGUAGCAAGUUAGGCUCAUAGUCAGUAAACUGUUUGUUGCUUCCCUGAUUUGAUUAAAAUGACUGUUGCAAUCAGGUGGUUGUAGUUUUAUUUGAGUGUACUUUUUUAGCUGUAUUCUGUGAAAGUAAACUCCAGAGUGCAAAAUUGUAUUUGUUGUGCAUUUUUGUAUCUUUUCAGAACAAAAAGAGAUGAAUUGAACCUCUUCUAGCUCCUAAUAAAAGGCAAUGUGCAAAACUGUAUGUUCUGUACAUUUUUGUAUCUUUCCAGAACAAAAAGAUAUGGAGAAUUGAACCUCUUCUUACUGCCUAAUAAAAGGGAGUGUAUUACUAGUUCAAUCACUUCCAGAAUGCUUGUUGAUAUAUCAGGAAAAGCGAGUUAUCCACUUUAUGAAUUACUGGAUGUUGCUUUACAUUCUACAGUAGCCUCCUUUUUGUCUUUCUGUAUUGUGGAAUCAGUGUUCCUUGUCUGACAUAUUUCUCUACUAAUGUAAAGUGUAUAUAUUAAUGCAGUAUUAUUAUGCUUGUUAUGAUAUCUUAAGCACUGUUCCUGGCUCAGGUCUCCACUUGAUCAGUGACGAAGGUUGAUGAUUACAACUGAACGACUGAAUCAGUCCACUGGUAGAAUUAAAUAUAGUUGAAGAACUAUGCUGCAGAGAAAAGAACUUGGUGUGUCAAUUCUUUAGGACCCCACACUACAAUACAUAGUCAAUCAUAACUACUUUAUAAUAGUUUAGAUAUACUUCCUUGAAAUGUUAUGUGAACCAUCGUUGGCUGUGUAACUUUGAAAGUGUCUCCACCUUGAACAUUUCAUUUAUUCUUAUUUUCUCUACCAUUAAUAGGUAUUAUUUAUAAUAUGCUUCCUCAAUUCCGAAAUAAUUGAAUUUGAUCAAGUUUAUAAGUAAAAAAGAGCUCACUUGGCUGUUCUUGACACGUAGAUAGGUGUAUUUGUUUACAUAAGAAAAAUGACACCAAGUUAGUUCAUGAUCAUGGUUUAGAAAAAAAAAGGUGUGCACUAUGGUAAAAAGAAGUACAGUUUUGUUGCAAGUAGUUUUCCAAAAACGAUAACUUAUCUUGUUCCCCUAUCCCUUUAUUAUUUGUCAACACCCCUGUGAUCUUUGAGAUGAUAAUUUUUCAAAGGUACCUACAGUUACACAGCAAGGUGGAGCUCCUCAGCGCUUUGGCAUGGGUAAGCUCCUAUGCCCUUCAGGAUGAUUUGAACUAUUUGGCACUAGAUUACUCAUGAUUAGUCGUCGAUGUUGUGUUGCUGCAAUGAAACAAUAUUGUUGAUUAAUGAAAGACAAGCAAUCCUGGCAUAACUCUUAAGUAUAUAGGCCUCAUGAGUGAGGUUCAAACCACGUGAAAUAAAAAUGAUGGUUCAGAUGAUAAUAACUACUAUUUAUGUUGUUGUAAUCAACUUGCCAUUUUGUAACAGAAGCAUAUUGUCUGUUACAGGUUUACUUGGUGGUCAGAGCCAAAAAGGAAGUUCGAGGUGUAGGCAUGAACUUGAUGAUUAAGAGGGUCUGUACAAUCUUGUAUAUUUGUUGAUGUAAUCUGGUGUAAUUAUUACUAAGGGUCUGUUAUCUGAUGUUGGAUGUUUUAUUGGCCACGUUUUAAAAGGGCUUUACUCAUUGAAAUAAUUGAAUAGAAAUUUGUGAAAUGCUUUAAAUUAUAGGCAUGUUCAAUAGAAUUAAUUGUGUUGUGAAAGCUUGUUUGAUUAUGUGUAAUGGGUGGCGCUGUAACUGGUUGGAUGGAAAUCAUGCCAGACUAAAAUAAAUGGUCUAAACUACCACAACAAAAAAAGUGGAUGCCACGUCACAUUCACGCUGGUGCCAUGUAGAUGCCACGUCAAGCCCAUUUUUGUAUAGCGUCUCCAAAUCCAUGACGGACUAGUCUGUCAUAGAGGACCGGGCCUGGGCGGGCCUAGGGACUGAUCGGUGACGGCCAGGAUCAGUCAUGGUGGUACAGUUGUCAAAUUAUGACGCGAUAUACAUGACGGAUUAUAAAUCCGUCACGGACAACCCUCCUUGACGGUUUUGCACUGUUCCAUGACAGACUGUAUCCGUCAUGGAUUAACAAGAUUCUUGUAGUGUAUAUCGGACUUGCACUUUAGGCCUUGCCGGAUUCCUCGCAGCCUGGUGGCCUGAAGGCAAUGAAGCUGACGCACUGCACCUGGCGCAUGUUGUCGAAACCAAUGACGCGGACAUAGGCGUCAGGGUACUCCUUCUUGACCUCCUCCACCUCGUUGAGCACCUGCGUGGCGUCAGUGCACCCGAACAUAGGAAGCUUCCACAUUGUCCAGUAUCGACCGUCGUAGUACCCUGGGGAGCUGUUGUGCUCACGGAAGACGAAGCCAACCUUGCUGAACUCAAGGCAGGGCACCCACUUGGAGCGGAUCAGGUAGUCGACCUGCUUAAGGAGGGCCUCCGUGGAGAGGGGUGGCAAGUAAGACAGGGUCUCGAACUUCUUGAUGCCCUCAAUCGGCCACACCUGAAUAGAUGGAAUUAACACAAUUGAUCAACACUUAGUGCUUGAAGAAAGACCUAGCCAUAAUAAGGCAAAAAUUACUCCUUAUGUCCAUACAUUUGUGGGGGGGUCUCCACAAGCAAGAAAGCACAAGGGCACCUCUUUCUUAUCGGUAGUGUAUGGGCAUUAAAAUUAAUAUUAUCUAGUACACAUUGGAAUAAAAUCGAUUUCAAUUCACAAAGUUUAUGAGUUAAAUAUUCCUACACAUGUGAACCUGCUUACGGACUACAUUGUGAUGCACAGUUUGGCCGGGCAUGUGGGCGUCCUACGGAUAGCUUUGCCUAUGUGCAGUGGAAAUACCCGAUAAAUUAAUCAAUUGUGGCAACAAAAACAUUCAUGCCAGCUUAGUGUCCGUCAUCCUUCGCUAAAAAAAAUCGAAAAGGAGGAUAACUCCAGCCUCUGCAUCAAGUGAUAUGCACACUGUCAUUUUUAUUAUAUUAUUCGAAAGAGUCUAACAAAACAAAUACGAUUUUAAACCAAAGCCAUCUUCGAGACGAACAAAAUCGCUACACCUACAAGUACGAUGAUGUGCCUUGACCACAUCAUCCUUCGCAAAAAUAAUAUUCAGCUUUCAUACCUGCAUGCAUCUGAUCCUUCCGCCAUUGCUGACGUUGCUGAGGCCGGCGCUGCCGGAGGGGCGGCUGAUGGGAAGGCCGGUGGUCGACUUAAGCCCCUGGAAGGGCGCGACGGUGGUGGCGGAAGAAGCCAUCACGGCUGGGGCCAUGGUGGAGUACGUGAAUUGCUAGGUGGGAGGCGAUAGCUAGCUAGGCCACACUUGACUUGAGCCCUCCUCAUGCCGCUCCAGUAUAUAUCAGCAUAUGCGCAGCGCCGCUCCUUUCAAACGAGAUUUCGAAGGGGUGGUCGUCGCUUGCUUGCUGCAAGGCGCCUUAUCCCUCUGGAUCAGCGGAAGAGGGGUGGAAAAUCAAAAUGAGUGCCACGGAAAGACCCCAAAACGUCAUAUAAGAUCACCAUUGAUCAUCCAAAUCUAAUGUCACUGCAUUAGUUACGAACAAAUUCUUUGGCGCGAAACUAAACCACGCCAAGACUAAAAUUCAUGAAGGAAAGUCAUCCAUACUCUUAUGUUUCAUUGUAUGAGACGGUAAUUAUUUCUUCAUUUAAAGUGCUGAUAUGGCUCCACCAUAGUAUCAGAUGUGGCAUUUUCCUAUUCCUAUACGAUGUGAUAUCAUCAUUUUUUUUUCUAAUUUAGUAAAACUUCUUCAUAUAGGUUCCACAGUCCGAAAAUACUCAUUCGCACGCGCGUGUUGGGUGGGUGAAGCGCUCCACACAAUAAGCCAAGCCCAGCUUUCACAUGUCGUUUAAUUGAGAAUGGUGGCCCCAUAUAGUAUAGCAGCCCACUGCCAUGGAAUUAAAUGUGUUGGGCCCACCCCACCUGAUACGCGCAUUCGCAGAGGGGCUAGUUGUGGUGGCAUGAUGGUUUUCACUUUUAAUGAUAUAUCUUUGAAUUUCACCAAAUUUCAGUAGACAAUGAAAUAUUUACCUUUCGACCAAAAUAUAUCAGUCAUUUCAGUUGUACACGUGAAUGCAAAUAUUUUUCAAAAUAUUUUCAUAUUUUUUUAAUUUCGGGUGAAUAUUUUGGUCUUUUGGUCAAAAUGCAAACUGACAUUACUGAAACUUAGUAAUUUUUGUAGGUGCUGAAAUGAAAAAACAAGGGUGCCAUGGCAUGCAGGCCCACCCCGUGAUCUCUACUCCUAAUGGAGCAGUUGGUAGUCUCGCUUCCAGGUUUUUUUUCGUCCCACCACUUUCGUCCGGUUUUUUUCCGUAGGUUAACCGUCGUAGAUUUUUUUCGAUGAUGGUUUUUUAUUCAUCGGUUUAUUUACCCCUCAGCUCUUUCCUUGCAAAUCAGGACUUUCCAAACGUGCAGGCAAUCACGGAUCUAAAUUUACUAACUUAUCCAAAUCAACCGAUACCUUCCAUUAUUGCAAAUUUCUUUAGGAAACAAAUAAUAGAUUUUAAGGAAACAAAUAAAAGAUUUUAAAGACACAUCAUACUUUACUAAUAAUCACUAAAAAUCAAAUCUAAAUUAAUUAACCUUACCUUAAAUCACUCAAUCACUUUAAUUAGAAAACAUUUUCUUUCCUAACUGCACCUUGCUUAGUGUGCACAUAACAAUCCGAAGUAAUUAGAGUCACAUGAUUGAAUCCAUUUAUUUAGAGCGGCAUGAUUGCGUUCCGGGAUGGAGGCCAUGAUUUCGUCGAGGUCGUUGCUGCCUCCUACACUCAGGGUGUGUCGCCGAGAUCGAGGCGAGCAUGAGGAGCUGUGGCCACCGCCAUGGUCACCUCAUCGCAGGGGAUGGAGCACGCCGUCGGCCUAUAGCUUGUGGAGAUCAGCACUUUCCAAACGUGCACGCAAUCACGGAUUUAAAUUUACUAACUUAUCCAAAUCAACCGAUAUCUUCCAUUAUUGCAAAUUUCUUUAGGAAACAAAUAAUAUAUUUUAAGGAAACAAAUAAAAGAUUUUAAAGACGCAUCGUACUUUACUAACAAUCACUAAAAAUCAAAUCUAAAUUAAUUAACCUUACCUUAAAUCACUCAAUCACUUUAAUUAGAGAACAUUUUCUUUCCUAACUGCACCCCGCUUAGUGUGCACAUAACAAUCCGAAGUAAUUAGAGUCACAUGAUUGAAUCCAUUUAUUUAGAGCGACAUGAUUGCGUUCCGGGAUGGAGGCCAUGAUUUCGUCGAGGUCGUUGCUGCCUCCUACACUCAGGGUGUGUCGCCAAGAUCGAGGCGAGCAUGAGGAGCUGUGGCCACCGCCAUGGUCACCUCAUCGCAGGGGAUGGAGCAUGCCGUCGGCCUACAGCUUGUGGAGAUCAGCACUUUCCAAACAUGCACGCAAUCACGGAUUUAAAUUUACUAACUUAUCCAAAUCAACCGAUAUCUUCCAUUAUUGCAAAUUUCUUUAGGAAACAAAUAAUAUAUUUUAAGGAAACAAAUAAAAGAUUUUAAAGACGCAUCGUACUUUACUAACAAUCACUAAAAAUCAAAUCUAAAUUAAUUAACCUUACCUUAAAUCACUCAAUCACUUUAAUUAGAGAACAAUUUCUUUCCUAACUGCACCCCUCUUAGUGUGCACAUAACAAUCCGAAGUAAUUAGAGUCACAUGAUUGAAUCCAUUUAUUUAGAGCGACAUGAUUGCGUUCCGGGAUGGAGGCCAUGAUUUCGUCGAGGUCGUUGCUGCCUCCUACACUCAGGGUGUGUCGCCAAGAUCGAGGCGAGCAUGAGGAGCUGUGGCCACCGCCAUGGUCACCCCAUCGCAGGGGAUGGAGCACGCCGUCGGCCUACAGCUUGUGUAGAUCACUGUUGCUCUUCAGGUCGCGUGGUGCCGGAUCUUGCCGAUGUGUCCUUCCCCGACGACCUCCUCUUCGCCCGGUUGGCCGGCAUGGAUCUCGCCACUACUGCCCUCAACUUCUCUGCCUCGAGCUCGACGGUCAGCCACCAUGGAUCCCCCAGCUGGAGGGUCACGUGAACCAGCCGUCCUCCCAUGCUGCAGCGGCGAGAAGGUGACAUGGCUCUCCGUACACGAAGAGUGGAGUGUGGAGUUCGGUCAAGUACUUAUAUACUUGGCCUCUACUGCUGAUCCAUGUACAUGGAGAAGAACAGACAACCACUCAUUCAUGCUUCGUUCCACUCCUUUGCGCUACAUUACUGGAGGUGACAUUUUCCUAUCUCUCUAUGUUGUAACAAGCCUGUUGCCUGCAUAGUUAAUGGAUUUUUUAUUUAAAUUUAUCGCUGCUUAGUGCUUUGUUGCAAUUGUUCACGCAAGAUUCUUAUAUAUAAUCUGAGCGUAUGUAGGCAUACUUAGCUUUUCUAUUCCAUUUUUUUGGCGCAUAGAAAUAAGAGUAUUGUCCAGGUUAGGUAUUCAAUUGAGUAUGGUAUUUGGAUUGCUAUCAGAAUGUCUUUUCUAUGCAUGUGAUUUCUCACAUCUGGUUAUAAUAUUUGUGAAGACAUGCAUUGCACGUGCACUUGGAAGCGGGCCCGUGGCCCGCGCUGGACGGCGCCGACGCCGACCCGAGCCACCUCGUCCGCGUAUUCUUGGAGCUGUGGCUGGUCGAUUUACAUGAAAUUAAUUUCCUCAGUUCUGGUGGCAAAUAUAAUACACAUAAUCCAUAUUAUUAUGCACUAGCGUGUAUGUGUGAAAUAGAUGGAUUAUGGUCCCGUACCCAAUAAGAUGGAUAUAUGUGUGUGUUAGAGAGAGAGGGAGAGGGGGAUAGAGAGUGAGGAAGACGGAGGGAGAGUGUGUGUCUGUGUGUGUGAGGAUUUGAUGGUAAAAAAGGUCGCCAAUGUCGUAAUAUUGAACUCUUAAAGUUAAUGUGGCCCCGUUGCAACGCACGGGCGUUCUUUUAGUCAAUAUAUAAUCUCCCACGAAAUUUCAGGUGGGGGCUAGUUUCCCUACAAUAAUGAAUAAUCCAAGGGAACGGAAAUAUCACUGCACACUUUCCUUAUAGGGAUGUGGACAACCAGUCGGAAAUCGCCCACGCGGACGNNNNNNNNNNNNNNNNNNNNNNNNNNNNNNNNNNNNNNNNNNNNNNNNNNNNNNNNNNNNNNNNNNNNNNNNNNNNNNNNNNNNNNNNNNNNNNNNNNNNNNNNNNNNNNNNNNNNNNNNNNNNNNNNNNNNNNNNNNNNNNNNNNNNNNNNNNNNNNNNNNNNNNNNNNNNNNNNNNNNNNNNNNNNNNNNNNNNNNNNNNNNNNNNNNNNNNNNNNNNNNNNNNNNNNNNNNNNNNNNNNNNNNNNNNNNNNNNNNNNNNNNNNNNNNNCAAAAAAUAAUUCAAGUUAAUAUAAUUUUAGCCUGGCAUGCGUGUACCUCCACAAUGUAAUGGGCUACUGUUGUUUGCAACUAAUUGUUUUGUAAUGUUAUGACUGAAUAUGGAUUUUCUCAUGAGACAUAUAGGGUUUCUGCCUCUUAGGCAGGUUUUAAGACAAAAUUGAUAGUUUCGCCAUGGAAGGACCGAUGUUUAUGACACGAACACCAAACAUCGCAGAUAAUUCAUCAUAGAAGGCCAAAAUAUUACUAGUACAAGGUAUCUUGGGGCUCAUCAAUUGGAUAUGUAAUUUGCACAUAUUUGUGCCCUCAACACAUUCUUUGGUUUAUUGGAAUUUCUGUAAUACUGCAAAAAAACAGUAUCUAAUUGCCGUGUAAAAUGGUUAGAAAAAAUGACAUGUCUUUGAUGAAUCGAUGCAGGAAUAUGGCUCACAUGACAAGUGCAUUAUGGUAGGUUUGUCCUUGUCUUGUUAUGCCACCUUUGUUUGUCCUUUUUUCUAGUUUUUUAUUUGUUUUUUCUUUUUUUAUUAUCUGUUUCUCGUCAAUUCCCGAUUGUUUUGCCAUUAGUUUUCAAGGGGGUCUCACCAUCUUUUAUGUGUUUCUCCACAGUAUUUUUUGAAGUACUUUGGUAUUCCAUAACAAUUUCCGUAUUAGACAAUACACAACAUAUGAUUGAGCAAAAAAUGCAUGAGAAGAAAACAAUGCAAGACAUAGGCAUUUCCGGCUGCAAAGAAAGUAACAUUUCCAUCAAUUGAUGGCAAGACACUAAUCCGUUGAUUGCAUAUAAUAUAUAUGUAUAUGUAUAGCCGGUGCUAUAAUUCUCAUAUGCAUCCUCCUCGACCUACAUUGGUAGGUGCUUACAUACAUAUGCUCAUAUAUUCACAUAUGAGUAGAACGAGAAGUAAAACUGAGAAAGCAGAGCCGCCGACAAAUUUGACUAACAUGACAUGUAUAUCGGUUACUUCAACUUGCACUUUAGGCCUUGCCAGAUUCCUCGCAGCCUGGUGGCCUGAAGGCAAUGAAGCUGACGCAUUGCACCUGGCGCAUGUUGUCGAAGCCGAUGACGCGGACAUACGCAUCAGGGUACUCCUUCUUAACCUCCUCCACCUCGUUGAGCACCUGUGUGGCGUCGGUGCACCCGAACAUAGGCAGCUUCCACAUUGUCCAGUAUCGACCGUCAUAAUACCCGGGGGAGCUGUUGUGCUCACGGAAGACGAAGCCAACCUUGCUGAACUCGAGGCAGGGCACCCACUUGGAGCGGAUCAAGUAGUCGACCUGCUUCAGGAGGGCCUCCGUGGAGAGGGGUGGUAAGUAAGACAGGGUCUCGAACUUCUUGAUGCCCUCAAUUGGCCACACCUGAAUAGAUGGAAUGAACACAAUUGAUCAACACUUAGUGCUUUAAGAAAGACCUACCCAUAAGGAAAAAAUUACUCCUGAUGGUCUGCCCACACAUCGUGGGGGGUCUCCACAAGCAAGAAAGCUCAAGGGCAGCUCUUGCUUAUGGGUAGUGUAUGGGCAUUAAAAUGAUAUUAUCUAGUACACAUUGCAAUAAAAAUGAUUUUCAUUCACAAAGUUUAUGAGUUAAAUAUGCCUACACAUGUGAAUCUGCUUACGGACUACAUUGUGAGGUUUACUUUGGCCUGGUAUGUGGGUUGCACGUCCUAAGGAUAGCGUUGCCUAUGUGAAGUGGAAAUACCCGAUAAAUUAAUCAAUUGUGCCGACAAGAACAUUCAUGACAGCUUAGUGUCCGCCAUUCUUUGCCAAAAAGUAAAUUGAAAAGGAGGAUAACCCAGCCCGUGCAUCAAGCGAUGCACACUGCCAUUUUUGUUAUGUUAUUUAUUUAACAUAGUCUAACAAAACGAAUACAGUUUUAAUUCAAAGCCACAUUCCAGACGAACAAAAUCGUUACACCUACAAAUACAAUGAUGUGCCUUGACUGCACCAUCUUUUGCAAAAAUGAUAUUUAGCUUUCAUACCUGCAUGCAUCUGAUCCUUCCGCCAUUGCUGACGCUGCUGAGGCCGGCGCUGCAGGAGCGGCGGCUGACGGGGAGGCCGGCGGUCGACUUGAGCCCCUGGAAGGGCGCGGCGGUGGUGGCGGAAGAAGCCAUCACGGCUGGGGCCAUGGCGGAGUACGUGAAUUGCUAGGUGGGGAGGCGAUAGCUAGCUAGGCCACACUUGACUUGAGCCCUCCUCAUGCCGCUCCAGUAUAUAUCAGCGUAUGCCCAGCGCCGCUCCUUUCAAACGAGAUUUCGAAGGGGUGGUCGUCGUUUGCUUGCUGCAAGGUGCCUUAUCCCUCUGGAUCAGCGGAAGAGGGUUGGAAAAUCAAAAUGAAUGCCACGGAAGAGAUAAAUAUACCUGCGGUCAUUGAAGUUGAGGCCGAAGCACACUACAGUCAUUGUACUUCAAAAUAAGUUUAAUACGGUCAUUGAAUACGAGUUGUAGUGUGCUUCCUAUUUUUUUUCUAGUCUGCAUACACGGAGAAGGUGGCACACUACAGUCACUGCACACACUCAGCCGUAGAAUGCCCGUAUUUCCUCUGUUUUUUUUUCUAGUCUGCAUAUAAAAUGUGGUCAAAGUUAAACUUUGUCAACUUUGAUUAAGUUUAUAAAAGAAAUAUAACGAUUCAUAAUAUGAAAUCAAUACUGUUAGAUGCAUCAUGAAAUUAAGUUUUAUACUUUCUUUAUUUUAAAAUAUAGUGCGCCCGCGUUUUCCGAGGUCUAACUUUGACCAUAAAUUUAACCAACGACACCGACUGCGAUGAGAGAAAAAAUUAUAUAAUUGAAAACCUCUUUUGAAUACGAAUUCACUGGUAUAAUUUUUGCUCCCACCGCAGUCGGUCUUAUUGGUUAAAUUUAUAGUCAAAGUUGAAACACGGGAAUAAAAGAAGCACUAUAUUUUGAAAUGGAUGGAGUACAAUAUAACUUUUAGUAUUGUAGAUGUUGAUAUUUUUUUCAACAAAAUUGGUUAAACUUUACAAAGUUUGAUUUUGACCAAAUACUAUAUGCAGACUAAAAAUAACGGAGGGAGUACACAACACAUGCAUCCGCACACGCUCGGCUGCAUGGUGGCGUGCGCCAUCUGCGACGACGUUGGUUCGUCGUGGUACGUCCAAGCUUGCCCACAACAAUGCCAUACGCCAUCUCUUGCAGCACCUCUUCGUCGUCAUUGCUCGACGACUGGCCGGAGACCAAGGUGACCGUGGCCUCGGCCUUAGAGCUAGCACCGAUAGAAAGCAUACGCGCAUGUACGGAGUACCCACUAGGUCGUGCGUCCCCAGCCGCGCCUCUACUCCUACUGCGCACAUUGUCUAUGAAGGCGAAUGCAUCACGCGCUAGCCGAGGCUUCAUCUUUAAUAAUUACAGCACCUACGGCACAAUCCGAGACUGCAUGGAGUCCUACUCGUGCAUGAGCCACUCUUGAUCACCUGUCGGAUCAUCCCCUCGGAGAACCUCAUCGCCUUGCCACCGUGGCCCCUAGCUCCUGCCCUUCACCUUGUGCUCCUACCAGUCGUCGAUCCGACAGGUGAUCAAGAGUGGCUCAUGCACGAGUAGGACUCCAUGCAGUCUCGGAUUGUGCCGUAGGUGCUAUAAUUAUUAAAGAUGAAGCCUCGGCUAGCGCGUGAGGCAUACGAUCAUGAUUCUCAGGUUCGAAGCCCGCAUUAAUUUACAUCCCUUCAGUUUUCUCUUAUACACCAUGAUAGGUGGGACCUAUAGAGCAGGGAGACAACUCAGCGCUGAUGGAGCCCUAACUGCCCCAUAGACUCUUUGACAGGUCAACUGGGCAAAAUACGAAGCUCUAUGGUGAACCAGUGACCAUAUAAUCAUCGUAACUCGUAUCCAAUGACUGUAUUGAGUGUAUUUUGAGGUUCAAUGACCGUAGUUUGCUUGGGCCUCAAUUUCAGUGACUGCUAGUGUAUUUAUCUCGCCACGGAAAGACCCCAAAACGUUAUAUAGGAUCACCAUUGAUCAUCCAAAUCUAAGGUCACUGAAUUUGUUAUGAACAAAUUCUUUGGCGCGAAACUAAACCACGCCAACACUAAAAUUCAUGAAGGGAAGUCAUCCAUACUCUUAUGUUUCAUUAUAUGAGACGGUAAUUAUUUCUUCAUUUAAAGUGUUGGUAUGGCUCCACCAUGGUGUUAGAUGUGGCAUUUUCCUAUACGAUGUGAUAUCAUCAUUUUUUUCUAAUUUAAUAAAACUUCUUCAUAUAGGUCUCACAAUCUGAAAAUACUCAUUCGCACGCGCGCGUUGGGUGGGUGAAGCGCUCCGUAGAAUAAGUCAGGUUCCGACCGCGUGCUAUAUUCCUUUCCAAUUUUUCACAUGUUUUUUUAAUUGAGAAUGGUGGCCCCAUAUGGUAUAGCAGCCCAAUGCCAUGGAAUUAAAUGUGUUGGGCCCACCCCACCUGAUACGCGCAUUCGUAGAAGGGCUAGUUGUGGUGGCAUCAUGCCUUUGACUUUUAAUGAUAUAUCUUUGAAUUUCAUCAAAUUUCAGUAGACAGCGAAAUAUUUACCUUUCGCCCAAAAUAUAUCAGUCAUUUCAAUUGUACACAUGAAUUCAAAUAUUUUUCAACAUUUUUUCAUUUUUUUUAACUUUCGAGUGAAUAUUUUGGUCUUUUGGUCAAAAUGCAAACUGACAUUACUGGAACUUAGUAAUUUUGGUAGGUACUGAAAUGAAAAAACAUGGGUGCCAUGGCAUGCAAGCCCACCCUGUGAUCAAUAUAUAAUCUCACACUAAAUUCCAGGUGGGGGCUAGUUUCCCUAAAAUAAUGAAUAAUCCAAGGGAACGGAAAUAUCACUGCACACUUUCCUAAUAGGGGCGUGGACGGCCAGUCGGAAAUCGACCACGCGGACGCGCGUGCGAAUUAGCCUCCCCCCCAACAAUCAUCCACCCAAAAAAUAAUUCAAGUUAAUAUAAUUUUAGCCUGGCAUGCGUGUACCUCCACGAUAUCGAUGUAAUGGGCUGCUGGUGUUUGCAACUAAUUGUUUCGUAAUGUUAUGACUGAAUAUGGAUUUUCUCAUGAGACAUAGGGUUUCUGCCUCUUAGGCAGGUUUUAUGACAAAAUUGAUAGUUUCGUCAUGGAAGGUCCCAUGUUCAUGACACAAACACCAAACAUCGCAGUUAAUUCAUUGUAGAAGGCCAAAAUAUUACUAGUACAAGCUAUCUUGGGGCUCAUCAAUUGGAUAUGUAAUUUGCACAUAUUUGUGCCCUCUACAUGUUCUUUGGUUUAUUGGAAUUUCUGUAAUACUGCAAAAAAUAGUAUAUAAUUGUGGUGUAAAAUGGUUAGAAAAAGUGACAUGUCUUUCAUGAACCGAUGCAGGAAUAUGGCUCACAUGACAAGUGCAUUACGGUAGGUUUGUCCUUGUCUUGUUAUGACACCUUUGUUUGUCCUUUUUUCUAGUUUCUUAUUUGUUUUUUUGUUUUUUUGUUAUUAUCGGUUUCUCGUCAAUUCCCUAUUGUUUUGCCAUUAGUUUUUAAUGGGGUCUCACCAUCUUUUAUGUGUUUCUCCAUAGUAUUUUUUGAAGUACUUUGGUAUUCCAUAACAAUUUCCGUAUUAGACAAUACACAACAUAUGAUUGAGCAAAAAAUGCAUGAGAAGAAAACAAUGCAAGACAUAGGCAUUUCCGGCUGCAAGGAAAGUAACCAUUCCAUCGAUUGAUGGCAAGACACUAAUCCGUUGAUUGCAUAUAAUAUAUAUGUAUAUGUAUAGCCGGUGCUAUAAUUCUCAUAUGCAUCCUCCUCGACCUACAUUGGUAAGUGCUUACAUACAUAUGCUCAUAUAUUCACAUAUGAGUAGAACGAGAAGUAAAACUGAGAAAGCAGAGCCGCCGACAAAUGUGACUAACAUGACAUGUAUAUCGGUUACUUCAACUUGCACUUUAGGCCUUGCCGGAUUCCUCGCAGCCUGGUGGCCUGAAGGCAAUGAAGCUGACGCAUUGCACCUGGCGCAUGUUGUCGAAGCCGAUGACGCGGACAUAGGCAUCAGGGUACUCCUUCUUGACCUCCUCCACCUCGUUGAGCACCUGUGUGGCGUCGGUGCACCCGAACAUAGGCAGCUUCCACAUUGUCCAGUAUCGACCGUCGUAGUACCCGGGGGAGCUGUUGUGCUCACGGAAGACGAAGCCAACCUUGCUGAACUCGAGGCAGGGCACCCACUUGGAGCGGAUCAAGUAGUCGACCUGCUUCAAGAGGGCCUCCGUGGAGAGGGGUGGCAAGUAAGACAGGGUCUCGAACUUCUUGAUGCCCUCAAUUGGCCACACCUGAAUAGAUGGAAUGAACACAAUUGAUCAACACUUAGUGCUUUAAGAAAGACUUAGCCAUAAGGCAAAAAUUACUCCUGAUGGUCUGUCCAUACAUUGUGGGGGGUCUCCACAAGCAAGAAAGCUCAAGGGCAGCUCUUGCUUAUGGGUAGUGUACGGGCACUAAAAAUGAUAUUAUCCAGUACACAUUGCAAUAAAAACGUUUUCCAUUCACAAAGUUUAUGAGUUAAAUAUUCCUACACAUGUGAACCUGCUUACGGACUACAUUGUGAGGUUUAGUUUGGCCUGGUAUGUGGGUUACACGUUCUAAGGAUAGCUUUGCCUAUGUGCAGUGGAAAUACCCGAUAAAUUAAUCUGACAGCUUAGUGUGCGUAAUCCUUCGUCAAAAAAAUUCAAAAAGGAGCAUAUCCCCAGCCUCUGCAUCAAGCGAUGCACACUGUCAUCUUUAUUAUGUUAUUCAACAGAGUGUAACUUAACAAGUACGAUUUUAAACCUAAGCCAUUUUCGAGAUGGACAAAAUUGUUACACCUACAAGUACGAUGAUGUGCCUUGACCGCUCCAUCCUUCGCAAAAAUAAUAAUUAGUUUUCAUACCUGCAUGCAUCUGAUCCUUCCGCCAUUGCUGACGCUGCUGAGGCCGGUGCUGCCGGAGCGGCAGCUGACGGGGAGGCCGGCGGUCGACUUGAGCCCCUGGAAGGGCGCGACGGUGGUGGCGGAAGAAGCCAUCACGGCUGGGGCCAUGGCGGAGUACGUAAAUUGCUAGGUGGGGAGGCGAUAGCUAGCUAGGCCACACUUUGAGCUCUCCUCAUGCCGCUCCAGUAUAUAUCACCAUAUGACGCCCCAACAAGAUUUCCAAGGGGUGGUCGUCGUUUGCCUGUUGCAAGGUGCCUUAUCCCUCUGGAUCAGCGGAAGAGGGGUGGCCCUCCGAUGCAUUGCGUGCGUGUGACUGCUGUACAAAUGGUAUAAUAAUUUUUGGAUCGUUAGAUUAGCACCUGCGCCUCUCUCCCCUAAUCUGCCGUAGUUUUCAUCUAAGGCUCCCACUAAUUUUGAUUUAUUUUGUUUCCAAAAAGUCACUGCUCCCAGAAAUUACUCCUCGAAGAUUUGUGUCUGAGGUAAUUGCACGGGUGGUGCUUGAACUUGUUAUCGAUGUUCACUUUAAUGCCUGAACUUGAAAAAUACGUCCAACUAGUUAUAGUACUUGGCACACUUGUUCGAAUAUGGUUCAAACCUCGUUCGCAUACAUAUGUGUUGCUAACUAGGCAUGUCAGCAUGGCGCAGGGCCCACUUGCAGUGCCGUGACUACUUGCAAAGUAUACUCUAUGUGGCAAUCGGGUCCCACCGUGUGGCUGUCAAGGCUCCCACUAAUUUUGAUUUAUUUUAUUUUCAAAAGGUUACUGCUCCCGAAAAUUACUCCUCCAAGAUUUGUGUUUGUGUCUCUCUACAUGUGGUGGGGGCGGUGGGGAGGAUAACGCUGUGCCUGUGAAGAUGCACCCUACGCCUGUAUAAGUAGCGCGCCAAGUUGGCCACACAGAUACCGCGCACUGUCCGAUGACGUGUACCCAUCCACCUGCCGCCUAAUACAUGGAUAGAUAGGCGGCGAAACACCGACCAACACAUGAUGAUCGCACAUUGAUAGUAUAGGGGAUCGUAGCAGUCCUCAGUCUGAUGAGAUCACCUAUUAAGGGAUAGACUCAUCAGCACCAAACAAGCUACAACAUAUGGGGAUCCUAAUGCAAGAUGCUCACCUACCAAACAUAGUCGACCUGACAAACCACUUGGACGAUACCAAGUCACUCGAACGAGCCAAGUACACUAGGUCAUUUGGACGGAGUUCAUCAAUGUACGAAUACACCAAACACUCGAAGGCACGAAGUACAACAUGCAGAGAAGGCACCUGGGGCGUUGUGCAAUUUAAUAGAAUUAGCAUUACUAACUUUAUUGCAUCAAUUACCUCUUGUAGUGGAUCUAAUAAUUAGACAUCUUUAAACACACUGGUAGAAAAAGGGCCUGUUGUCCCGGUUCGUAAGGGCCUGUUGUCCCGGUUCCUGAACCGGAACUAAAGUGUCGGUACUAAUGCUCUGUCCCUUUAGUCCCGGUUCAAUCCAGAACCGGGACUGAUGGGCCUUCACGUGGCCUGUGCGCGGAGCCCAGGCAGGAGACCCUUUGGUCCCGGUUGGUGGCACCAACCGGGACCAAUAGGCAUCCACGCCUCAGCAUUUCUGUGGCUGGGGUUUUUGUUUUUUUUUGAAAGGGGGGGGGGGGUUGGGGGGUUUUGGGGGGUUAAUUUAGGUGUUUCAUAUAUUGUGUUAGCUAGCUAUAAUUAAUAGAGAGAAGUGUUAUCUCUUAUGUCCGUCCUUGGUCGACGCUACGUACUAUACAUACGUAUAAAAAGGACUAGACAUGCUAGCUAGCUAGUAAGCAAACGAAGGAAACAGAAUAUCGUCAUGAACAUAUAUGCAUACAGAGAGAAGUGAUAUCGACCACCUCUCCUUCUUCGAGAGAUUGGUCGAACAACAAGUUCUCGUAUAUCUAUCCGACACUACUGGCUACAUAUAUACAACAAUUAUCUCUUACAAAUAUAAUCAUACGGACUCAUGGUCCACAUAGUAUUCUCCGUCUUCAGCGAUCACGUGGUCAAGAAAGAAUGCCGUCAAUUCCUCUUGAAUUGCUCGCAUGCGAGCUGGUGCUAGGAGUUCAUCCCGCUUCCAAAACAUCUAAUUUGAAGAAGGGGGUCAAUACAUAUAUAUAUAUGAAUGAAUGAAACUCAAUACAAAUGAUGGUAAUAAAAUAAAAUUGUGAAUGUUGUUAUUUACGUACUUCAUAUUGUUCGUCAGAGUACCCGCCCCGCUCACAGGUCGUGUGGCGGAUGGACUCGCAGACGUAGUAUCCACAGAAAUCAUUCCCUUGUUCCUGCCACAACCACUUUACAAGAAAUAGAGGUCAAUCAAACUGAUAAGCAAGAACAUGCUACUAUAGUACUUACUUUCGGGUGUCUAAAUUCCAGCUCCUUCGGCAGUCCCGGAACUUUUCUGGUGAAUUUUCUCCAAACCCUGCCGGACAAAGAAAAUAAUUACUUGAUAUCAGGAAAUGAACAAAGUUGCUGAUAUGGUGGAUAAUGAUCGAUUUAACUUACUUCUUGAGGAUUUCAGUCAUGUCCGCAUACUCCUGGGGAUUUUUUCGUUUAGAGUCCAAGACGAUUACUACUCCCUGCUCAAGCCUAAUCUCUAAGAGAAUAUAGUGGAAACUGCACACGCAUGCAUAACUCAUCAAUUACAUUACUAUAACCUGGACUAAUAUAUAAGGGAAACCGAAUAUGCACAAGACAGUAACACUCACUUGAAGUUGUAAGGAAAGAGUAUUAUAUCUUUGUUUUCAUUUUUUUGAAUGAUCGUAGCAAGUUGGCCUCGGUAUCUUCGGGACGAUGUUCAACCUCAGUUGCAUCUAUGAGAUAUGUGUUAACGAACCCAAUAUCACCGAUUUGUCUUUUCUUCAAUUCGGCGAUCUUCAUUCUGCAUAAUAUAGUGAGGAUAAUUAUAAAUACAUGCAAUGAAAGAGAUGAGCUAUAUAGAGAGACUUAAUGACAGAAGUAGUAGUACUUACAGACAGUAGCAGGUGAUCGUUGUUUUAUUGAGGGCCAAUUGAUUGAAAAACUGAUAGAACUCCUCAAAUGGAAUAGGCAACAGUUCAAUUCCAACGAGGUCAUGCUCCGGUUUAACUCACGCAUACAAAGUACUCCUCCCCCCAGACUCUCUGCAGAUUUUCAAGUACCAAUCAUGUAAUCUUCGCAUCAUCGUUGUUAAAGAUUUUUCAUCUUUGACGAGAGGCUUCCCGUACUCGUAUCUGUGUAUCUGCACCUCCAUGGGAUCAUAAUGUACAUCGUCGGGCAGGUAAUCGUCAGCAUUGCCAUAACCGGGCACCAUCCUCGGAUCAACGAUGUCGCUAGGCACCUUGAGGGGGGGCACGAUUGCUUCGCUUGUUCGCCGAGCUGGGCAAUUUGUUUCCCAGCUGCUCGUCGUUCUUUCAGCCUUUGAUCACUGAGUGUACUUCCCGACCGCUUCGCUUCGGCCCAUGUCUUUGCAAUAAUGCGCUCAUAGUUGCCUUUCGGCGGAGACUUGGGUGGUUUUGCCAGGGCAGCCAGAGUGCGCUUCACUUUCACCAGAUCUACCUUCUCCUCCGGAGGUGGAUGUCUCUUUGCUCUCAACCCUUGAAACCAGUCAUCCACUUCGGUUCGCGCGAUCUUCGUGUUCUCCUCCGGGGUCCUCUCGUAUGGUAACUUCUGUGGACUCUUCAGAGAAGGACCGAAUCUGUAUGUCCUCCCGACUCUGGUUGUACUGCUAGACACCGACCGAGCAGAAGAAGCGGUUGUCUUCUUUACUUGCUUACGAGGCGGAGGAGAAGGACUAUGACACACCGGAGCAGCUGCUGGAGCGGCGGCGGGUCUCUUCCGCCCUUGCUGACGAGGCGGAGAAGGAGGAGGCCGGCUGCUCGGGCGCGCCGGCGCAGGCGGAGUGCCGCCACGCGCCGGAGAAGGAGCCGGCCGAGGGCCCUGAUCGUCACUCGCCGGAGGAGGAGGCGGUGAAGGAGGCGGAGUGCCCUGACUCGCUGGAGAAGGAGGAGGAGGCGGAGGCAUCCAGUUCGGAAGGUUGAUGAGCUCCUUCCGCCAUAGGCAUGGAGUCUUCAGAGCAGACCCCAGCUGAGUCUCCCCUUCACCGGUAGGGUGGUCAAGCUGGAGGUCCCCAAAUCCCUCCGUUAUUUCAUCCACCAUCACCCUAGCAUAUCCUUCUGGAAUCGGCUGGCAGUGAAAAGUUGCGCCGGGUUCAGUAGGAUAAACAGAGCCAACAGCCGCCUUGACCUUCAAAUUCAUCCAUUGCGUCAUAAGGUGGCAAUUUUGAGACUCCGUGAUAGCAUCCACGGGAUAGCUGGCAGGAGCCAUCAAGGCAUGCUUCGGCUGAAGCAGCUCGGUGGAAGCCACGCUGCUUCUGCGCUGAGAUGGCGGGGUCGCUUCGGGGGAAGCUUCGGCAGUACGUUUGCUGCGAUUUGCUUCUCGUUCCUCUAUCACGUCUACCCUUGCUUGCAGCGCCUGUAUUUGGGUCUGCUGCACUUUUUUCCUCCUCUCAUGGGAUUUGUAACCGCCUGCGUCCGGAAACCCAACCUUCCACGGAAUGGAGCCUGGCGUGCCUCGUGUCUGUCCAUGGUGCUCAGGAUUCCCGAGGGCCAUUGUGAGCUCGUCGUUCUCUCUGUCUGGAAAGAACUUCCCUUGCUGUGCUGCUUCGAUAUACUGCUUAAGCUUCCUGACUGGUAUGUCCAUUUGAUCGUUCGUCCAAAUGCACUUCCCUGUUACAGGGUCCAAGGUUCCGCCAGCCCCAAAGAACCAAGUCUGGCAACGGUCUGGCCAGCUAAUUAUCUCUGGUUCGAUCCCUUUAUCAACCAGAUCAUUCUCAGUCUUGGCCCACUUAGGCCGGGCUACGAGGUAGCCACCUGACCCCGUGCGAUGGUGAAGCAUCUUCUUCGCAGCAUUUUGCUUGUUUGUCACCGACAUCUUCUUACUCUUUUCCUAUGUCUUGUGGGCCACAAAUGCGGGCCAGUGAUCUCUGAUCUUCUCAUAUCUUCCCUUGAAUUCUGGUGUCUCAUUAUUUUCGACAAACUUAUUCAGCUCUUUCUUCCACCUCCUAAAUAGUUCUGCCAUCCUCUUAAGAGCAAAAGACUUGAUUAAUUGCUCUUUAACUGGGUUCUUUGGAUUAUCCUCUGGCGGUAGGGUGAAAUUUGACUUCAGCUCAGUCCAAAGAUCAUUUUUCUGCAUAUCAUUGACAUAAGACACCUCAGGGUCUUCUGUAGCCAGCUUAAACCAUUGUUGGAUGCUUAUCGGGAUCUUGUCCCUAACCAGAACCCCGCACAGAGCAACAAAUGCGCUCUUUAUCCGGAGGGGUUCAAUCGGUUGGCCGUCGGGCGCGAUUGCUAUGAUCUCAAACUUUUCAUCCGAGCUCAACUUUUUCUUCGGGCCUCGUCUCUUUACCGAAGUUGUGCUCGAUCCGGAGGGCUAGAAAAAAGAACAAAGACUUAAUUAAUAUGUGUACAUACCAAAACAAUGAAUGCAUCAAUCAGCUAGUCAGCACAGGCUUAACUAAUAUAUAUACCUGGCCGGACUCGGUUCGGUCACCGGAGCCGUCAUCACGGUCUCCUUCUUGCACCGUCAUUGGGUCACCGGAGCCGUCCUCAUGUUCUUCUUCUUACACCGGCAUUAGGUCACUGUAGCCAGCUUCUUCACCCUCUCCUUCCAGACCAUCGGUGUUGUUGAGAAACAACAAGAUGGCAUCACUUCCUUCUGCGAUUAUGUCCAUCAACAACGCUUCUUUUGCUUCGUCUCGGGAGGUGUCCAUAGUUUCUACAAAUAUUUACAACAUGGCAAUUAUUAUUCAAACAUGACAGAUGGAUAUAUUAGUGCCAAACGUAGAACUAGCUACCUAAUCAUAGUAAGGAAUCAUAUAUAUUAAUUAGUGGCCUCGACCCCCCCCCCCACGUGUUGAAGCUAUCGGGAGGGGGUAUAUAUCGACAACGACGACACUACAUCUAUAUGUCCCUCGACGACCCUCGUUCCCGAUAAAAAAAGAGGAAGAAAAAGAAAAAAAAAGAGGAGAAGAAAGAAUAGAGGAGAAGAACUCCUCUAUUCUUUCUUCUCCUCUUUUUUUUCUUCUUCCUAUUCUUUUUUAUCCUCUUCUUCCUCUCAUGUUCGAGAGGAUCGCCGAGGGGUCGGAAGGUUGCCUAGUGUCAAAGGAUUCAACAAAACCAUGUCUUCAUCAUUAGGCGAAAGUAACAGGUGCAUGAUGGUACGAAGCUCUCCAAAGUUAUUUUGGAACGGAGUCCUAGAUAGGAUAAUUCGCUUUUUGGUACAAAGUUCAGCAAGAACCUUCCAAAUAUCAUGAUUUGAAAGGCCUUUGUUGAAAUUCAUACAAAAAGGCAAAUUAUCCUAUCCGGGACACCAUUCCAAAAUAACUUUGGAGGACUUCGUCAUGCCCUGGUUACUUCCGGCUAAUGAUGAAGCCAUGGAUUUCUUCAAUACUUUGACACUAGGAAACCUCUCUCGACCCCUCGGCGAUCCUCGACCCCUCGAACCCUCGACGACCCUGGAACCCUCGACCCCUAGACGACCCUGAAAUAAAAAGAGGAGAAUAAGAAAGGAAUAUCUAGAGGAGAAGAUCGAAGAAAAAAAGAAGAAAAAAAAGAGGAGAAGAAGAAAGGAAUAGAGGAGAAGAAGAGAAAAUAGAAUAUAUUCUAUUUUCUCUUCUUCUCCUCUAUUCCUUUCUUCUUCUCCUCUUUUUUUUUCUUUUUCUUAUUUAUUUUUCCCCUUCUUCCUCUCCUCUUCUUCUCCUUUCUUCCUCUUCUUAUUUUCCUUUUUCCUCUCCUUUUUCUUCUUCUUCCUUCUUUCUAGCUAGAUAUAUAAAACUUUUCAAAAAAUGUAACUUUUGCAUAUAUACAUGGAAAAAAUUGUUAUCGGGGAGGGAAUAUAUUCUAUUUUCUCUUCUUCUCCUCUAUUCCUUUCNNNNNNNNNNNNNNNNNNNNNNNNNNNNNNNNNNNNNNNNNNNNNNNNNNNNNNNNNNNNNNNNNNNNNNNNNNNNNNNNNNNNNNNNNNNNNNNNNNNNNNNNNNNNNNNNNNNNNNNNNNNNNNNNNNNNNNNNNNNNNNNNNNNNNNNNNNNNNNNNNNNNNNNNNNNNNNNNNNNNNNNNNNNNNNNNNNNNNNNNNNNNNNNNNNNNNNNNNNNNNNNNNNNNNNNNNNNNNNNNNNNNNNNNNNNNNNNNNNNNNNNNNNNNNNNNNNNNNNNNNNNNNNNNNNNNNNNNNNNNNNNNNNNNNNNNNNNNNNNNNNNNNNNNNNNNNNNNNNNNNNNNNNNNNNNNNNNNNNNNNNNNNNNNNNNNNNNNNNNNNNNNNNNNNNNNNNNNNNNNNNNNNNNNNNNNNNNNNNNNNNNNNNNNNNNNNNNNNNNNNNNNNNNNNNNNNNNNNNNNNNNNNNNNNNNNNNNNNNNNNNNNNNNNNNNNNNNNNNNNNNNNNNNNNNNNNNNNNNNNNNNNNNNNNNNNNNNNNNNNNNNNNNNNNNNNNNNNNNNNNNNNNNNNNNNNNNNNNNNNNNNNNNNNNNNNNNNNNNNNNNNNNNNNNNNNNNNNNNNNNNNNNNNNNNNNNNNNNNNNNNNNNNNNNNNNNNNNNNNNNNNNNNNNNNNNNNNNNNNNNNNNNNNNNNNNNNNNNNNNNNNNNNNNNNNNNNNNNNNNNNNNNNNNNNNNNNNNNNNNNNNNNNNNNNNNNNNNNNNNNNNNNCCUUGUGUUGCCUCGCGCCCAAAAGUUUAGUCCCACCUCGCUAGUUGAGAGGGCUCGGGAGUGGUUUAUAAGCGCUGUUGCGCCCAUCCUCCCGAGCUCCUCUCUACUGCAGGCUUUCGGGCCUAAUCUGUCACUGCAAUGCAUGUGGGCCUACUGGGCCUGCUGCGGGCCUGAAUCCUGGCCCAUGGUAGGGUUUCUAGUCGUAUUCAGGCCGUGGUGGCCCAAUAGGUGGCAUUUUUUUUGUUGCUUUAUUUAUUUCCUUUUGUUUUUUGCUUUAUUUUUUAAUUCUUUAUGCCUUUAGUUUUAGAAAAAUUAUAAACUUUUUAUUAAUGCCAUUAGUUUUAAAAUUUGAAAAUAUUUUUUUAGUUUUUUAGUUUUCUUUGUUGCUUUAUUUAUUUUAUUUUGUGAUUAACUUUACUAUAAAAAUAGUUUUUUCCUGUUUUUUUAUUUGUUUUUUGCAUUAUUUAUUUUCUUUUGUUUUUUUCUUUAAUUUUUAAUUCUGUUUGCUUUUAGGUUAGCAAAAUUAUAAACUUNNNNNNNNNNNNNNNNNNNNNNNNNNNNNNNNNNNNNNNNNNNNNNNNNNNNNNNNNNNNNNNNNNNNNNNNNNNNNNNNNNNNNNNNNNNNNNNNNNNNNNNNNNNNNNNNNNNNNNNNNNNNNNNNNNNNNNNNNNNNNNNNNNNNNNNNNNNNNNNNNNNNNNNNNNNNNNNNNNNNNNNNNNNNNNNNNNNNNNNNNNNNNNNNNNNNNNNNNNNNNNNNNNNNNNNNNNNNNNNNNNNNNNNNNNNNNNNNNNNNNNNNNNNNNNNNNNNNNNNNNNNNNNNNNNNNNNNNNNNNNNNNNNNNNNNNNNNNNNNNNNNNNNNNNNNNNNNNNNNNNNNNNNNNNNNNNNNNNNNNNNNNNNNNNNNNNNNNNNNNNNNNNNNNNNNNNNNNNNNNNNNNNNNNNNNNNNNNNNNNNNNNNNNNNNNNNNNNNNNNNNNNNNNNNNNNNNNNNNNNNNNNNNNNNNNNNNNNNNNNNNNNNNNNNNNNNNNNNNNNNNNNNNNNNNNNNNNNNNNNNNNNNNNNNNNNNNNNNNNNNNNNNNNNNNNNNNNNNNNNNNNNNNNNNNNNNNNNNNNNNNNNNNNNNNNNNNNNNNNNNNNNNNNNNNNNNNNNNNNNNNNNNNNNNNNNNNNNNNNNNNNNNNNNNNNNNNNNNNNNNNNNNNNNNNNNNNNNNNNNNNNNNNNNNNNNNNNNNNNNNNNNNNNNNNNNNNNNNNNNNNNNNNNNNNNNNNNNNNNNNNNNNNNNNNNNNNNNNNNNNNNNNNNNNNNNNNNNNNNNNNNNNNNNNNNNNNNNNNNNNNNNNNNNNNNNNNNNNNNNNNNNNNNNNNNNNNNNNNNNNNNNNNNNNNNNNNNNNNNNNNNNNNNNNNNNNNUUCUGUUAGUGCCAUUAGUUUUCAAAUUUGAAAACACUUUUUUAGUUUUUUUGUUUUCUUUGUUGCUUUAUUUAUUUUAUUUUGUGAUUAACUUUACUAUAAGAAUAGUUUUUUCCUGUUUUUUUGAUUUGUUUUUUGCAUUAUUUAUUUUCUUUUGUUUUUUGCUUUAAUUUUUAAUUCUGUUUGCUUUUAGGUUAGCAAAAUUAUAAACUUUCUGUUAGUGCCAUUAGUUUUAGAAAAAUUAUAAACUUUCUGUUAGUGCCAUUAGUUGAAAGUUGGCAUGGGCCAGGGACUAAUGGUCAUGGUAUUACGAGGGCCGAACCAUAAGACAUGAAAGCAUUUCAAAUGAACUCUGAAAAAGUUGAAAGUUGGGAUGGUAUCAUAAUUUCACCCACAUAGCAUGUGCAUGUACAAAACGGACAAUGGUAGCAUGUUCGUGUGUUACAAAGUUGCGGGAGAAAGUCUUCACUUUUUCUUCGCUUGUGUCAUUUGCUUAUUGCGCCGUAACCAUGGAUAAUCUUCAUUGUUUAUCAGGAUGCUUGGGUCAGCCUUGACAUUGAAGGGAGGAAUUUCAUGAAACUUUUCAUAAUCUUCAGACAUGUCUGUCUUGCCGUCCACUCCUAGGAUGUCCCUUUUCCCUGAAAGAACUAUGUGGCGCUUUGGCUCAUCGUAUGAUGUAUUCGCUUCCUUAUCUUUUCUUUUUCUCGGUUUGGUAGACAUGUCCUUCACAUAGAUAACCUGUGCCACAUCAUUGGCUAGGACGAACGGUUCGUCAGUGUACCCAAGAUUUUUCAGAUCCGCUUUUGUCAUUCCGUACUGUGGGUCUACCUCUACCCCGCCGCCUAACAGAUUGACCCAUUUGCACUUAAACAAAGGGACCUUAAAAUUAGGUUCGUAGUCAAGUUCCCAUAUGUCCACUGUGUAACCAUAAUAUGUAUCCUUUCCGCUCUCGGUUGCUGCAUCAAAGCGGACACCGCUGUUUUGGUUGGUGCUCUUUUGAUCUUGGGCGAUCGUGUAAAAUGUAUUCCCAUUUAUCUCGUAUCCUUUGUAAGUCAAUACAGUCAAAGAUGGUCCCCUGGACAACAAGUACAACUCAUCACAAACAGUGUUGUCACCUCUGAGACGUGUUUCCAACCAACUGCUGAAAGUCCUGAUGUGUUCACAUGUAAUCCAGUCGUCGCACUGCUCUGGGUGUUUGGAGCGCAGACUGUUCUUGUGUUCAUCGACAUACGGGGUCACCAAGGUAGAGUUCUGUAGAACUGUGUAGUGUGCUUGAGACCAAGAAUAUCCGUCCCUGCAUAUUAUUGAGUCUCUUCCAAGAGUGCCUUUUCCAGUCAGUCUCCCCUCAUACCGCGAUUUAGGGAGACCUAGCUUGUUAAGGCCAGGAAUGAAGUCAACACAAAACCCGAUAACAUCCUCUGUUUGAUGGCCCAUGGAGAUGCUUCCUUCUGGCCUAGCGCGAUUACGGACAUAUUUCUUUAGGACUCCCAUGAACCUCUCAAAGGGGAACAUAUUGUGUAGAAAUACGGGCCCCAGGAUGACAAUCUCGUCGACUAGAUGAACUAGGACAUGCGUCAUGAUAUUGAAGAAGGAUGGUGGGAACACCAGCUCGAAACUGACAAGACAUUGCGCCACAUCACUCCUUAGCCUUGGUACGAUUUCUGGAUCGAUCACCUUCUAAGAGAUUGCAUUGAGGAAUGCACAUAGCUUCACAAUGGCUAAUCGGACGUUUUCCGAUAGAAGCCCCCUCAAUGCAACCGGAAGCAGUUGCGUCAUAAUCACGUGGCAGUCAUGAGACUUUAGGUUCUGAAACUUUUUCUCUGGCAUAUUUAUUAUUCCCUUUAUAUUCGACGAGAAUCCAGUCGUGACCUUCAUACUGAGUAGGCAUUCAAAGAAGAUUUCUUUCUCUUCUUUCGUAAGAGCGUAGCUGGCAGGACCUUUAUACUGCUUUGGAGGCAUGCCGUCUUUUUUGUGCAAACGUUGCAGGUCCUCCCGUGCCUCAGGUGUAUCUUUUGUCUUCCCAUACACGCCCAAGAAGCCUAGCAGGUUCACGCAAAGGUUCUUCGUCACGUGCAUCACAUCGAUUGAGGAGCGGACAUCUAGGUCUUUCCAGUAGGGUAGGUCCCAAAAUAUAGAUUUCUUCUUCCACAUGGGUGCGUGUCCCACAGCGUCAUUCGGAACAGCUAGUCCACCGGGACCCUUUCCAAAGAUUACGUGGUGUAAAUCAUUGACCAUAGCAAGCACGUGAUCACCGGUGCGCAUGGCGGGCUUCUUCCGGUGAUCUGCCUCGCCUUUGAAAUGCUUGCCUUUCUUUCGACAUUGAUGGUUGGUCGGAAGAAAUCGACGAUGGCCCAGGUACACAUUCUUCCUGCAUUUGUCCAGGUAUAUACUUUCAGUGUCAUCUAAACAGUGCGUGCAUGUAUGGUAUCCUUUGUUUGUCUGUCCUGAAAGGUUACUGAGAGCGGGCCAAUCAUUGAUGGUCACGAACAGCAACGCCUUAAGGUUAAAUUCCUUCUGUAUGUGCUCAUCCCACGUACGUACACCGUUUUCAUUCCACAGCUAUAAAAGUUCUUCAACUAAUGGCCUUAGGUACACAUCAAUUUCGUUGCCGGGUUGCUUAGGGCCUUGGAUGAGAACUGGCAUCAUAAUGAACUUCCGCUUCAUGCACAUCCAAGGAGGAAGGUUAUGAAGGGUUUCAUAGUAAUUUCAAAAAUUUCCUACGCUCAUGCAAGAUCAUGGUGAUGCAUAGCAACGAGAGGGGAGAGUAUGAUCUAUGUACCUUGUAGAUCGACAACGGAAGCGUUUGGUUGAUGUAGUCGUACGUCUCCACGGCUCGACCGAUCAAGCACCGAAACUACGGCACCUCCGAGUUCUAGCACACGUUCAGCUCGAUGACGAUCCCCGGACUCCGAUCCAGCAAAGUGUCGGGGAAGAGUUCCGUUAGCACGACGGCGUGGUGACGAUCUUGAUGUACUACUACAGCAGGGCUUCGCCUAAGCACCGCUACAAUAUUAUCGAGGACUAUGGUGGAAGGGGGCACCGCACACGGCUAAGAAUAUGAUCAUGUGGAUCAACUUGUUGUUCUCUGGGGUGCCCCUGCCUCCGUAUAUAAAGGACCAAGGGGGGGGGAGGCCGGCCGGCCAUCAUAGGCGCGCCCGGAGGAGUCCUACUCCCUCCGGGAGUAGGACUUCUCCCCCAAUCCUAGUUGGAAUAGGAUUCGCGAGGUGGGAAAAGAGAGAGAGAGAAGGAGGGGGGCGCCGGCCCCCUCUCUCCUUGUCCUAUUCGGACUAGGGGGGAGGGGUGCGCGGCCCAGCCCUGGCUGCCUCUCCUCUUCUUCCACUAAGGCCCAUUAAGGCCCAUAUAGCUCCUGGGGGGUUCCGGUAACCUCCCGGUACUCCGGUAAAAUCCCGAUUUCACCCAGAACACUUCCGAUAUCCAAACAUAGGCUUCCAAUAUAUCAAUCUUUAUGUCUCGACCAUUUCGAGACUCCUCGUCAUGUCUGUGAUCACAUCCGGGACUCCGAACAACCUUCGGUACAUCAAAAUGCAUAAACUCAUAAUAUAACUGUCAUCGUAACCUUAAGCGUGCGGACCCUACGGGUUCGAGAACAAUGUAGACAUGACCGAGACACGUCUCCGGUCAAUAACCAAUAGCGGGACCUGGAUGCCCAUAUUGGCUCCUACAUAUUCUACGAAGAUCUUUAUCGGUCAGACCGCAUAACAACAUACGUUGUUCCCUUUGUCAUCGGUAUGUUACUUGCCCGAGAUUCGAUCGUCGGUAUCCUAUACCUAGUUCAAUCUCGUUACCGGCAAGUCUCUUUACUCGUUCUGUAAUACAUCAUCCCGCAACUAACUCAUUAGUUGCAAUGCUUGCAAGGCUUAAGUGAUGUGCAUUACCGAGAGGGCCCAGAGAUACCUCUCUGACAAUCGGAGUGACAAAUCCUAAUCUCGAAAUACGCCAACCCAACAUGUACCUUUGGAGACACCUGUAGAGCUCCUUUAUAAUCACCCAGUUACGUUGUGACGUUUGGUAGCACACAAAGUGUUCCUCUGGCAAACGGGAGUUGCAUAAUCUCAUAGUCAUAGGAACAUGUAUAAGUCAUGAAGAAAGCAAUAGCAACAUACUAAACGAUCGGGUGCUAAGCUAAUGGAAUGGGUCAUGUCAAUCAGAUCAUUCAACUAAUGAUGUGAUCCUGUUAAUCAAAUGACAACUCUUUGUCCAUGGUUUAGGAAACAUAACCAUCUUUGAUUAACAAGCUAGUCUAGCAGGCAUACUAGUGACACUCUGUUUGUCUAUGUAUUCACACAUGUAUUAUGUUUCCGGUUAAUACAAUUCUAGCAUGAAUAAUAAACUUUUAUCGUGAUAUAAGGAAAUAAAUAAUAACUUUAUUUUUGCCUCUAGGGCAUAUUUCCUUCAGUCUCCCACUUGCACUAGAGUCAAUAAUCUAGAUUACACAGUAAUGAUUCUAACACCCAUGGAGUCUUGGUGCUGAUCAUGUUUUGCUCAUGGAAGAGGCUUAGUCAACGGGUCUGCAACAUUCAGAUCCAUAUGUAUCUUGCAAAUCUCUAUGUCUCCCACCUGGACUAGAUCCCGGAUGGAAUUGAAGCGUCUCUUGAUGUGCUUGGUUCUCUUGUGAAAUCUGGAUUCCUUCGCCAAGGCAAUAGCACCAGUAUUGUCACAAAAGAUUUUUCAUUGGACCCGAUGCACUAGGUACGAUACCUAGAUCGGAUAUGAACUCCUUCAUCUAGACUCCUUCAUUUGCUGCUUCCGAAGCAGCUAUGUAUUCCGCUUCACACGUAGAUCCCGCCACGACACUUUGUUUAGAACUGCACCAACUGACAGCUCCACCGUUUAAUGUAAACACGUAUCCGGUUUGCGAUUUAGAAUCGUCUGGAUCAGUGUCAAAGCUUGCAUCAACGUAACCGUUUACGAUGAGCUCUUUGUCACCUCCAUAUAUGAGAAACAUAUCCUUAGUCCUUUUCAGGUACUUCAGGAUGUUCUUGACCGCUGUCCAGUGAUCCACUCCUGGAUUACUUUGGUACCUCCCUGCUAGACUUAUAGCAAGGCACACAUCAAGUCUGGUACACAGCAUUGCAUACAUGAUAGAGCCUAUGGCUGAAGCAUAGGGAACAUCUUUCAUCUUCUCUCUAUCUUAUGCAGUGGUCGGGCAUUGAGUCUUACUCAACUUCACACCUUGUAACACAGGCUAGAACCCUUUCUUUGCUUGAUCCAUUUUGAACUUCUUCAAAAUCUUGUCAAGGUAUGCGCUUUGUGAAAGUCCAAUUAAACGUCUCGAUCUAUCUCUAUAGAUCUUUAUGCCUAAUAUGUAAGCAGCUUCACCGAGGUCUUUCAUUGAAAAACUCUUAUUCAAGUAUCCUUUUAUGCUAUCCAGAAAUUAUAUAUCAUUUCCAAUCAGUAAUAUGUCAUCCACAUAUAAUAUCAGAAAUGCUACAGAGCUCCCACUCACUUUCUUGUAAAUACAGGCUUCUCCAAAAGUCUAUAUAAAACCAAAUGCUUUGAUCACACUAUCAAAGCGUUUAUUCCAACUCCGAGAGGCUUGCACCAGUCCAUAAAUGGAUCGCUGGAGCUUGCACACUUUGUUAGCUCCCUUUGGAUCGACAAAACCUUCCGGUUGCAUCAUAUACAACUCUUCUUCCAGAAAUCCAUUCAGGAAUGCAGUUUUGACAUCCAUCUGCCAAAUUUCAUAAUCAUAAAAUGCGGCAACUGCUAACAUGAUUCGGACAGACUUAAGCAUCUCUACGGGUGAGAAGGUCUCAUCGUAGUCAAUCCCUUGAACUUGCCAAAACCCUUUUGCGACAAGUCGAGCUUUGUAGACAGUAAUAUUACCGCCGGCGUCAGUCUUCUUCUUGAAGAUCCAUUUAUUCUCAAUUGCUUGCCGAUCAUUGGGCAAGUCAACCAAAGUCCACACUUUGUUCUCAUACAUGGAUCACAUCUCAGAUUUCAUGGCUUCAAGCCAUUUUGCAGAAUCUGGGCUCACCAUCGCUUCUUCAUAGUUCGUAGGUUCAUCAUGAUCUAAUAGCAUGACUUCCAGAACAGGAUUGCCGUACCACUCUGGUGCGGAUCUUACUCUGGUUGAUCUAUGAGGUUCAGUAGUAUCUUGUUCUGAAGUUUCAUGAUCAUUAUCAUUAGCUUCCUCACUAAUUGGUGUAGGUGUCACAGAAACAGUUUUCUGUGAUGCACUACUUUCCAAUAAGGGAGCAGGUACAGUUACCUCGUCAAGUUCUACUUUCCUCCCACUCACUUCUUUCGAGAGAAACUCCUUCUCUAGAAAGUUUCCGAACUUAGCAAUAAAAGUCUUGCCUUCGGAUCUGUGAUAGAAGGUGUAUCCAAUAGUCUCCUUUGGAUAUCCUAUGAAGAAACAUUUCUCUGAUUUGGGUUCGAGCUUAUCAGGUUGAAGCUUUUUCACAUAAGCAUCGCAGCCCCAAACUUUCAGAAACGACAACUUUGGUUUCUUGCCAAACCAUAGUUCAUAAGGCGUCGUCUCAACGGAUUUUGAUGGUGCCCUAUUUAACGUGAAUGCGGCCGUCUCCAAAGCAUAACCCCAAAACGAUAGCGGUAAAUCAGUAAGAGACAUCAUAGAUCGCACCAUAUCCAGUAAAGUACGAUUACGACGUUCGGACACACCAUUACGCUGUGGUGUUCCGGGUGGCGUGAGUUGCGAAACUAUUCCGCAUUGUUUCAAACACCAAACUCGUAACUCAAAUAUUCUCCUCCACGAUCAGAUCGUAGAAACUUUUAUUUUCUUGUUACGAUGAUUUUCAACUUCACUCUGAAAUUCUUUGAACUUUUCAAACGAUUCAGACUUAUGUUUCAUUAAGUAGAUAUACCCAUAUCUGCUUAAGUCAUCUGUGAAGGUGAGAAAAUAACGAUAUCUGCCACGAGCCUCAAUAUUCAUCGGACCACAUACAUCUGUAUGUAUGAUUUCCAACAAAUCUGUUGCUCUCUCCAUAGUACCGGAGAACGGCGUUUUAGUCAUCUUGCCCAUGAGGCACGGUUCGCAAGUACCAAGUGAUUCAUAAUCAAGUGGUUCCAAAAGUCCAUCAGUAUGGAGUUUCUUCAUGCACUUUACACCGAUAUGACCUAAACGGUAGUGCCACAAAUCAGUUGCACUAUCAUUAUCAACUCUGCAUCUUUUGGUUUCAACAUUAUGAAUAUGUGUGUUACUACUAUUGAGAUUCAAUAAGAAUAGACCACUCUUCAAGGGUGCAUGACCAUAAAAGAUAUUACUCAUAUAAAUAGAACAACCAUUAUUCUCUGAUUUAAAUGAAUAACCGUCUCACAUCAAACAAGAUCCAGAUAUAAUGUGCAUGCUUAACGCUGGCACCAAAUAUCAAUUAUUUAGGUCUAAUAUUAAUCCCGAAGGCAGAUGUAGAGGUAGCGUGCCGACCGCGAUCACAUCGACUUUGGAACCGUUUCCCACGCGCAUCGUCACCUUGUCCUUAGCCAAUCUUCGCUUAAUCCGUAGUCCCUGUUUCGUGUUGCAAAUAUUAGCAACAGAACCGGUAUCAAAUACCCAGGUGCUACUGCAAGCAUUAGUAAGGUACACAUCAAUAACAUGUAUAUCACAUAUACCUUUGUUCACCUUGCCAUCCUUCUUAUCCGCCAAAUACUUGGGGCAGUUCCGCUUCCAGUGACCAGUCUGCUUGCAGUGGAAGCACUCAGUUUCAGGCUUAGGUCCAGACUUGGGUUUCUUCUCUUGAGCAGCAACUUGUUUGCUGUUCUCCUUGAAGUUCCCCUUCUUCUUCCAUUUGCCCUUUUUCUUGAAACUAGUGGUCUUGUUGACCAUCAACACUUGAUGCUCCCUUUUGAUUUCUACCUCCGCAGCUUUCAGCAUUGCGAAGAGCUCGGGAAUAGUCUUAUUCAUCCCUUGCAUAUUAUAGUUCAUCACGAAGCUCUUGUAGCUUGGUGGCAGUGAUUGGAGAAUUCUGUCAAUGACACAAUCAUCUGGAAGAUUAACUCCCAUCUGAAUCAAGUGAUUAUUAUACCCAGACAUUUUGAGUAUAUGCUCACUGACAGAACUGUUCUCCUCCAUCUUGCAGCUAUAGAACUUAUUGGAGACUUCAUAUCUCUCAAUCCGGGCAUUUGCUUGAAAUAUUAACUUCAACUCCUGGAACAUCUCAUAUGCUCCAUGACGUUCAAAACGUCGUUGAAGUCCCGAUUCUAAGCCGUAAAGCAUGGCACACUGAACUAUCGAGUAGUCAUCAGCUUUGCUCUGCCAGACGUUCACAACAUCUGGUGUUGCUCCAGUAGCAGGCCUGGCACCCAGCGGUGCUUCCAGGACGUAAUUCUUCUGUGCAGCAAUGAGGAUAAUCCUCAAGUUACGGACCCAGUCCGUGUAAUUGCUACCAUCAUCUUUCAACUUUGCUUUCUAAAGGAACGCAUUAAAAUUCAACGGAACAACAACACGGGCCAUUUAUCUACAAUCAUAUAUAAGCAAGAUACUAUCAGGUACUAAGUUCAUGAUAAAUUUAGGUUCAAUAAAUCAUAUUACUUAAAGAACUCCCACUUAGAUAGACAUCCCUCUAAUCCUCUAAGUGAUUACGUGAUCCAAAUCAACUAAACCAUGUCUGAUCAUCACGUGAGAUGGAGCAGUUUCAUUGGUGAACAUCACUAUGUUGAUCAUAUCUACUAUAUGAUUCAUGCUCGACCUUUUGGUCUCCGUGUUCCGAGGCCAUAUCUGUAUAUGCUUGGCUCGUCAAGUAUAACCUGAGUAUUCCGCGUGUGCAACUAUUUUGCACCCGUUGUAUUUGAACGUAGAGCCUAUCACACCCGAUCAUCACGUGGUGUCUCAGCACGAAGAACUUUCGCAACGGUGCAUACUCAGGGAGAACACUUCUUGAUAAUUUAGUGAGAGAUCAUCUUAUAAUGCUACCGUCAAUCAAAGCAAGAUAAGAUGCAUAAAAGAUAAGCAUCACAUGCAAUCACAUCACAACAUGCCCUUGCAAAAACAAGUUAGACGUCCUCUACUUUGUUGUUGCAUGUUUUACGUGGCUGCUACGGGCUCAAGCAAGAACCAAUCUUACCUACGCAUCAAAACCACAAUGAUAGUUUGUCAAGUUGGUGUUGUUUUAACCUUCGCAAGGACCGGGCGUAGCCACACUCAGUUCAACUAAAGUUGGAGAAACUAUCACCCGCAAGCCACCUAUGUGCAAAGCACGUCGGGAGAACCGGUCUCGCGUAAGCGUACGCGUAAUGUCAGUCCGGGCCGCUUCAUCCAACAAUACCACCGAACCAAAGUAUGACAUGCUGGUAAGCAAUAUGACUUAUAUCACCCACAACUCACUUGUGUUCUACUUGUGCAUAUAACAUCAACAUGUAAAACCUAGGCUCGGAUGCCACUGAAGGGUUUCAUAGUAAUUUCAAAAUUUUCCUACGCUCAUGCAAGAUCAUGGUGAUGCAUAGCAACGAGAGGGGAGUGUAUGAUCUACGUACCUUGUAGAUCGACAACGGAAGCGUUUGGUUGAUGUAGUCGUACGUCUCCACAGCUCGACCGAUCAAGCACCGAAACUACGGCACCUCCGAGUUCUAGCACACGUUCAGCUCGAUGACGAUCCCCGGACUCCGAUCCAGCAAAGUGUCGGGGAAGAGUUCCGGUAGCACGAUGGCGUGGUGACGAUCUUGAUGUACUACUACAGUAGGGCCUCGCCUAAGCACCGCUACAAUAUUAUCGAGGACUAUGGUGGAAGGGGGCACCGCACAUGGCUAAGAAUAUGAUCACGUGGAUCAACUUGUUGUUCUCUGGGGUGCCCCUGCCUCCGUAUAUAAAGGACCAAGGGGGGAGGCCGGCCGGCCAUCAUAGGCGCGCCAGGAGGAGUCCUACUCCCUCCGGGAGUAGGACUUCUCCCCCAAUCCUAGUUGGAAUAGGAUUCGCGAGGUGGGAAAAUAGAGAGAGAGAAGGAGGGGGGCGUCGGCCCCCUCUCUCUUUGUCCUAUUCGGACUAGGGGGGAGGGGCGCGUGGCCCAGCCCUGGCUGCCUCUCCUCUUCUUCCACUAAGGCCCAUUAAGGCCCAUAUAGCUCCCGGGGGGUUCCGGUAACCUCCCGGUACUCCGGUAAAAUCCCGAUUUCACCCGGAACACUUCCGAUAUCCAAACAUAGGCUUCCAAUAUAUCAAUCUUUAUGUCUAGACCAUUUCGAGACUCCUCGUCAUGUCCGUGAUCACAUCCGGGACUCCGAACAACCUUCGGUACAUCAAAAUGCAUAAACUCAUAAUAUAACUAUCAUCGUAACCUUAAGCGUGUGGACCCUACGGGUUCGAGAACAAUGUAGACAUGACCAAGACACGUCUCCGGUCAAUAACCAAUAGUGGGACCUGGAUGCCCAUAUUGGCUCCUACAUAUUCUACGAAGAUCUUUAUCGGUCAGACCGCAUAACAACAUACGUUGUUCCCUUUGUCAUCGGUAUGUUACUUGCCCGAGAUUCGAUCGUCGGUAUCCUAUACCUAGUUCAAUCUCGUUACCGGCAAGUCUCUUUACUCGUUCUGUAAUACAUCAUCCCGCAACUAACUCAUUAGUUGCAAUGCUUGUAAGGCUUAAGUGAUGUGCAUUACCGAGAGGGCCCAGAGAUACCUCUCCGACAAUCGGAGUGACAAAUCCUAAUCUCGAAAUACGCCAACCCAACAUGUACCUUUGGAGACACCUGUAGAGCUCCUUUAUAAUCACCCAGUUACGUUGUGACAUUUGGUAGCACACAAAGUGUUCCUUUGGCAAACGGGAGUUGUAUAAUCUCAUAGUCAUAGGAACAUGUAUAAGUCAUGAAGAAAGCAAUAGCAACAUACUAAACGAUCGGGUGCUAAGCUAAUGGAAUGGGUCAUGUCAAUCAGAUCAUUCAACUAAUGAUGUGAUCCUAUUAAUCAAAUGACAACUCUUUGUCCAUGGUUUAGGAAACAUAACCAUCUUUGAUUAACAAGCUAGUCUAGUAGAGGCAUACUAGUGACACUCUGUUUGUCUAUGUAUUCACACAUGUAUUAUGUUUCCGGUUAAUACAAUUCUAGCAUGAAUAAUAAACUUUAUCAUGAUAUAAGGAAAUAAAUAAUAACUUUAUUAUUGCCUCUAGGGUAUAUUUCCUUUAGGUUAUACAUAGAGUCACGGGCCAGGUGCUGUGAUUGCUGCUCUGCUCCCCGAAAGGAUUAAUGCCAUCCGCGCUUAAAGCAAACCAUACAUUCCUUGGGUCCUUUGCAAACUCAUCCCAGUACUUUCUCUCGAUUUUUCUCCACUGCGACCCGUCAGCGGGUGCUCUCAACUUCCCAUCUUUCUUUCGGUUCUCACUGUGCCAUCGCAUCAACUUGGCAUGCUCUUCGUUUUUGAAUAGACGUUUCUACCGUGGUAUUAUAGAAGCAUACCACAUCACCUUCGCAGGAACCCUCUUCCUGGGGGGCUCGCCGUCAACAUCACCAGGGUCAUCUCGUCUGAUCUUAUACCGCAAUGCACCGCAUACCGGGCAUGCCUUCAGAUCCUUGUAUGCACCGCGGUAGAGGAUGCAGUCAUUAGGGCAUGCAUGUAUCUUCUCCACCUCCAAUCCUAGAGGGCAUACGACCUUCUUUGUUGUGUAUGUAAUGUCGGGCAAUUCGUUAUCCUUUGGAAGCUUCUUCUUCAAUAUUUUCAGUAGCUUCUCAAAUCCUUUAUCAGCCACAACAUUCUCUGCCUUCCACUGCAGCAAUUCCAGUACGGUACCGAGCUUUGUGUUGCCAUAUUCGCAAUUAGGGUAUAACCCUUUUUUGUGAUCCUCUAACAUGCGAUCGAACUUCAGCUUCUCCUUUUGACUAAUGCAUUGCGUCCUUGCAUCGACAAUGACCCGGCGGAGAUUAUCAUCAUCGGGCACAUUGUCUGGUUCCUCUUGAUCUUCAGCAGCUUCACCCGUUGCAGCAUCAUUGGGCACAUCAUCUGGUUCCUCUUGAUCUUCACCAGCUCCCCCCAUUGCAGCAUCACCGUAUUCAGGGGGCACAUAGUUGUCAUCAUAGUCUUCUUCUUCGCCGUCUUCCAUCAUAACCCCUAUUUCUCCGUGCCUCGUCCAAACAUUAUAGUGUGGCAUGAAACCCUUGUAAAGCAGGUGGGAGUGAAGGAUUUUUCCGGUUAGAGUAAGACCUCGUAUUCCCACAUUCAGUGCAUGGACAACACAUAAAACCAUUCUGCUUGUUUGCCUCAGCCGCAUCGAGAAACUCAUGCACGCCCUUAAUGUACUCGCGGGUGUGUCUGUCACCGUACAUCCAUUGCCGGUUCAUCUUCGUGCAUUAUAUAUAAUUAAGUGUCCAAACUAAUAGAAGUUCAUCAUCACAUUAAAACCAAAGUGCAUACAUAGUUCUCAUCUAACAACAUAUAGCUCUCCAGAGCAUCUAAUUAAUUAAACCAUACAUUGAAACUAUGUAAAACAUUUCAAUGCGAAAACAAAUGCGAUCAUAAUCGCAACCAAGGUAACAAUUGAUCCAACGGCAUAAUGAUACCAAGCCUCGGUAUGAAUGGCAUAUUUUCUAAUCUUUCUAAUCUUCAAGCGCAUUGCAUCCAUCUUGAUCUUGUGAUCAUCGACGACAUCCGCAACAUGCAACUCCAAUAUCAUCUUCUCCUCCUCAAUUUUUUUUAUUUUUUCCUUCAAAAAAUUGUUUUCUUCUUCAACUAAAUUUAACCUCUCGACAAUAGGGUCGGUUGGCAUUUCCGAUUCACAUACAUCCUAGAUAAAUAAAAUCUAUGUCACGUUGGUCGGCAUAAUUUUCAUAAACAAUAAAUGAACCAAUAGUUAUAAAGAUAAUAUACAUACCACAUCCGAAUCAUAGACAGGACGAGGGCUGACGGGGGCGGAUACCAAAACCAUCGCACUAUAUAAGAUGCAAUAAUAAAUGUAAGAAAAUGAUACAAGUAUCUAUCUAAACAUACAAGUAAGAAUAAUUUUCCUUUCAGAAAGAAGAUAAGAACAAGAGGCUCACCACGGUGGUGUAGGUGAUGAGAUCGGCGCGGGUGAUCGACGGCGGUGAAGAUGGGGAUGGGGCGUGACAGACCGCUAAAUCUAGACAAAUCUCGAGGAAAAUGGAGCUUGGAGGUCGAGCUUCGAGAGGAGAAAGCUUAAGUAGUGUGGCUCGGGCAUUCCAUCGAACACCUCAUGUGCAUAGGAGGUGAGCUAGAGCACCACAAAGCCCUCUCCCCCUCGGCCAGAGAAAAACAGAGCACUGGGGUGCUCUGCUCACGAGCGAGGGGUAUAUAUAGGCACCUCAUUGGUCCCGGUUGGUGACAUGAGCCGGGACUAAAGGGGAGCCUUUGGUACCGGUUCAAGCCACCAACCGGGACCAAUGGUGGUGGGCCAGGAGCGAGGCCCAUUGGUCCCGGUUUAUCCCACCAACCGGGACCAAAAGGUCCAGAUGAACCGGGACCAAUGGCCCACGUGGCCCGGCCGGCCCCCUGGGCUCACGAACCGGGACCAAUGCCCACAUUGGUCCCGGUUCUGGACUGAACCGGGACUAAUGGGCUGACCCGGCCUGGACCAAAGCCCUGUUUUUUACUAGUGACACUUGUAACAAUCGACAAAGGUCAGUUACAUGGCUCACUCUAUGUAAGCCCUACCUCUGUAACAAGGGGUCUGUCAGGGUUACGAUCCUGACAAUAAGUACUAGGGGUACGAAAGAGGCCUAGCUACAGCGCAUGUGUAACACUCGGUGUUUAACGAGUUCAGGCCCCUCUCAGAUGAGGUAAUAGCCCUACGUCUCAUGCCUUGAGCCUUUGUUUUCUUGAGAGGUAUGAUUACAGAGAUUGCUUAACCCUUGUACAUGAGGAGGGGCAACUUAUAUAGAGUGCGUCGUUGACCCGCCAUUCCCAUGUCGCAAGGGUGAAUUUAAUGUUGACGUGGGCAUCCAUGUCAUAGCUGAGAGUUUCAAAACAACUACAUGCUCAUCUGAUCAUGCGAACAAGAAGCAGAUUAUUUGUGUUGGAAAAAUCCCUAUUGAGCUUGUUGCACCAGAUGAAGUUAAGCCAACAUUUAGAACUCCAUGUGUUGUACACACGUUGUGGUAGGAAAUAUACGAGUCAAGUUUGAUUCGGUUUGGUAUAGGUGCAGUAUACAUGAGUCAAGUCUUUGGUCUAGUACUAGUUACGUGGUUAUCUUAGUCUCCUAGGUGAUUAAGAUGGCCGGAUAAUUAAUUAGUUAAAUUCCUUGGUUAGUUUGAAUAGGAGAUAGAGUCCGUAUCUAUCUUGGGUGCUUUAGUCGGUUUGGUCAGAUUGGUGUCGCCUAUAUAACAGGCAGGCUUCGGCCGUGUAUCCAGUUUUUUUGAGUUUUUUUGUUUUAGUGGUGAGAUCAAUAAAAUUACAGAAAACGUCCCAUGUUGGGGGAUACCAAAUAUCUUUGUUGCUGAUCCGAGUGGAUUUUGUUGCUGCUGCGUGUGGAGUCGAUCCAAUCUACUCGACACAAGUUUCUGAUUUUAAGGUCUUGCAUCUUUGCUCGACCGAAAUUUCUUGUUGCUACUGCUAGUACCGUGAAAGAUCGGGACGUCGAACGACUCGCCAUCUAGUCGAGUCUACAUCAAGUGGUAUUCAAAGCUAAUGUUGUUCACGGUACUAUGUUGAUCAAGAUGUCAACCUCGGUCAACAAGGGUGAUGAGGUUGCUGCUGAUUCUGAGGAAAUAGUAUGUCCAGUGUAUGCGGAUAAUAUUCCGCAAAAUAUUCGGAAUGGUUUUGACCACACAUUCAACUACAUCAAGCAAUGUCAUGAUGCGCUCGGCAGAAGGAUAGAUGUCUUGAUCACUCGGUUUGAUGGUUUCGCGGACAUCAUCAAUAUGCCGGCGACGAAUUUUGCCCCACCACAGACUGCUCCGGCGGCUCCACUGCAUUAUGCACCACCUGCUCGCGAUGGACAUGCCGGUGUGCAUGAUCGCCAUUUGGCAGCACAACCUCAUGCUGGAGAUGAUGAUCUCGAUGAUGGCGUUGACCAGGUGGGGUACGCGCCACGACCAAGACACUAUGAGUCUCGUCCUGAAACUUCUGUUUGUGGUGGAGUGCAUGACCGAGUUGGUCAAGCUGUGCGUGUGCCUUUGGAUGAUGGAAUUGGGUGCAUAAAAAUUUCGAUCCCUUCGUUCUCCGGCAAGUGUGAACCAGAAGGCUAUUUGGAGUGGGAGAUGCGUGUUGAUCAAAUAUUUGAUGCCCAUCAUUAUAGCGAGGAGAAGAAAGUUCAACUUGCUGGAAUUGAGUUCACCGGUUAUGCGCUAAUUUGGUGGAAUCAAAUUUGUCAUUCAAGACAUCGCCCGACGACUUGGUGAGGUAUGAAAGAAUUCAUGAGGCGGCGUUUUGUUCCUGAGCACUAUAAAAGAGAUAUGUACAACAAGUUGCAGCAGCUCUCUCAGGGUAAUAUGAGUGUUGAUGAAUAUUACAAGGAGAUGGAAUUGCUUAUGAUACGUACAGGGACAACGGAGGAUCCGGAGGCGACUAUGGCACGUUUCUUUAAUGGUCUAAAUAUUGAGGUGCAGGAUCGUGUUGAGAUGGUGGUCUAUUACAACAUACAAGAUCUUGUGCACCAAGCUGUGCGGGCGGAACAACAGAUUAUGCGACGCCAAGUCAGCACAGUUCCUAGUACCACUUUGAACACAUGGCGACGCUCGCAACAUAAGAGUGAGGAUGUCGGUCCUAGCUCUAGGACAGCGACAUCUAAUCGCCCUCAAGCUUCCGUGCAAAAGGAUGCUUUAAAAUCAGGAUUGCCGAGAGUUGAUUCUAGUGCGCAGUCAGCCACACGUACUAGUAAUAUAGAGUGUUUCAAGUGUGGAGGAAGGGGGCAUAUGAGACGUGAAUGUCCUAAUGAGAAAAGAGUGUUGCUCACAAGAGAUGGCUAUGCAUCCGCUAGUGAUGAAGAGGCAGUUUCUGACACUUCUAGUGCAAAAUCUGAAGAUGUUGAAAAUGUGGUUGCGAGUUUUGAAGCUGCUGAAUCAUAUCCGUCUUUGAUGGUGCAGCGAGUGCAAGAGGAUCGCAUUGAGGACAAGGGUCAACAUUGGAAUAUUUUUCAAACUCAAUGCCAAAUCAACAACACCAAUUGUAAGUUAAUUAUAGAUGGAGGAAGCUACACCAAUGCGGUCAGCAAGGGAUUGGUGGAAGCUUUGGGGUUACCUGCAUGGAAGCACCCACAACCACACUGCAUCGAGUGGUUAUAUCAGUCCGGCGGACUAAAAAUUACUCAUAAGGUGCGUCUCAAUUUUUCGGUUGGUGACUAUACCGACACAGUGAUUUGUGAUGUUUUACUGAUGGAUGCAUGUCAUUUGUUGCUGGGGAGACCUCGGCAAUAUGAUCAUCAUGCCACACAUGAUGGAAGGUCCAACACUUAUUGUUUUCGGAAUGCCGGAAGACGAUAUGUGCUACAACCAAUGUUUGCUAAUGCUGUUAAGGAGGAUGAUAUUCUUUCAGUAAAGAAGGAGGUCUCUAAAACCACCACGCAGCUGAGGAUGGCUUCGUUACAAGGAGGAGGGGAUGCUGUGGGCAUCCAUGUCAUAGCUGGGAGUUUCAAAACAACUACAUGCUCAUCUGAUCAUGCGAACAAGAAGCAGAUUAUUUGUGUUGAAAAAAUCCCUAUUGAGCUUGUUGCACCAGAUGAAGUUAAGCCAACAUUUAGAACUCCAUGUGCUGUACACACGUUGUGGUAGGAAAUAUACGAGUCAAGUUUGAUUCGGUUUGGUAUAGGUGUAGUAUACGUGAGUCAAGUCUUUGGUCUAGUACUAGUUAUGUGGUUAUCUUAGUCUCCUAGGUGAUUAAGAUGGCCGGAUAAUUAAUUAGUUAAAUUCCUUGGUUAGUUUGAAUAGGAGAUAGAGUCCGUAUCUAUCUUGGGUGCUUUAGUCGGUUUGGUCAGAUUGGUGUCGCCUAUAUAACAGGCAGGCUUCGGCCGUGUAUCCAGUUUUUUUGAGUUUUUUUUGUUUUAGUGGUGAGAUCAAUAAAAUUACAGAAAACGUCCCAUGUUGGGGGACACCAAAUAUCUUUGUUGCUGAUCCGAGUGGAUUUUGUUGCUGCUGCGUGUGGAGUCGAUCCAAUCUACUCGACACAAGUUUUUGAUCUUACGGUCUUGCAUCUUUGCUCGACCGAAAUUUCUUGUUGCUACUGCUAGUACCGUGAAAGAUCGGGACGUCAAACGACUCGCCAUCUAGUCGAGUCUACAUCAAAUGCCGUAACUACGGCAGUUACAUGUAUAAAUGGCCACAACUACAACAGUUACAGGUAACGGUUGUAGGGAAAUGUAGCAUGCAAUUUCAAAAAAAUUCCUACGCUCAUGCAAGAUCUGUCUAGGAGAUGCAUAGCAACGAGAGGUGGAGAGUGUGUCCACAUACCCUCGUAGACCAAAAGCGGAAGCGUUUGAUAACGCAGUUGAUGUAGUCGAAGUUCUUCUAGAUCUGACCGAUCAAGCACCGAACGUACGGGACCUCCGAGUUCUGCACACUUCAGCUCGAUGAUGUCCCUCGUCCUCUUGAUCCAGCAAAGGUGUCGAGGAAGAAGAUGAGUUCCGUCAGCACGACGGUGUAGAGACGGUGAUGGUGAAGUGAUCCGCGUAGGGCUUCGCCUAAGCACUAGGAAGAUAUAACCGGAGGCGUAAACUAUGGAGGGGCGCCACACACGGCUAACAAUUGUUGGUGUGUGAUCUAGGCGCCCACUCCCCACGUAUAUAUAGGUGGGAGGGGAGGGGAGCAACCUUGGGGUGCCCCAAGUAGGAGGAAUCCUACUUGAGGGCCUAGUCCAAUCCCCCCUCCCCUUCCAUAUUUCCGGAGAGGAAAAAGGGAAGAGGAAGGGGAGAAGGAAAGGGGGGCCGAACCCCCUCUUUUUCCUUUCCCCACUCGGCCUCCUUCCUUUGGGGGGGGCGUGCCACCCUUGUGGGCUGGUGUGCUCCCCUUCUAUGGCCCAUGUGGCCCAUAUCUUUCCCCUGGGGGGUUCCGGUAACCCCCUGGUAGACCGAUAAAUACCCGAUACACUUUGAAACACUUCUGGUGUCCGAAUACUAUCAUCAUAUAUAUCAAUCUUUACCUAUCGACCAUUACGAGACUCCUCGUCAUGUCCGUGAUCUCAUCCGAGACUCUGAAAAAACAUUCGGUCACCAAAUCACAUAACUCAUAUAAUACUAAAUCAUCAUCGAACGUUAAGCGUGCGGACCCUACGGGUUCGAGAACUAAGUAGACAUGACCGAGACACCUCUCCGGUCAAUAACCAAUAGAGGAACCUGGAUGCUCGUAUUGGUUCCUACAUAUUCUACGAAGAUCUUUAUCGGUCGAACCAUAAUGACAACAUACGUUAUUCCCUUUGUCAUCGGUAUGUUACUUGCCCGAGAUUCGAUCGUCGGUAUCUCCAUACCUAGUUCAAUCUCAUUACCGGCAAGUCCCUUUACUCGUUCCAUAAUACAUCAUCUCACAACUAACUCAUUAGUCACUUUUCUUACAAGGCUUCUUAUGAUGUGCAUUACCGAGAGGGCCCAGAGAUACAUCUCCGAUACUCGGAGUGACAAAUCCUAAUCUCGAUCUAUGCCAACCCAACAAACACCUUCGGAGAUACCUGUAGAGCAUCUUUAUAAUCAUCCAGUUAUGUUGUGACGUGUGAUAGCACACAAGGUAUUCCUCUGGUAUCCGGGAGUUGCAUAAUCUCAUAGUCAAAGGAAUAUGUAUUUGACAUGAAUAAAGUAGUAGCAAUAAAACUGAACGAUCAAUAUGCUAAGCUAACAGAUGGGUCUUAUCCAUCAUAUCAUUCUUCUAAUGUUGUGAUCACGUUUAUCAAAUGACAACAUAUGUCUAUGGUUAGGAAACUUUAACCAUCUUUGAUUAACGAGCUAGUCUAGUAGAGGCUUACUAGGGACACAUAGUUUUGUCUAUGUAUCCACACAUGUAUCAAGUUUCCAGUUAAUAUAAUUCUAACAUGAAUAAUAAACAUUUAUCAUGAUAUAAGGAAAUAUAAAAUACCAACUUUAUUAUUGCCUCUAGGGCAUAUUUCCUUCAGUCUCCCACUUGUACUAGAGUCAAUAAUCUAGAUUACAUUGUAAUGAUUCUAACACCCAUGGAGUCUUGGUGUUGAUCAUGUUUUGCUCGUGGAAGAGGCUUAGUCAAUGGGUUUGCCCCAUUCAGAUCCGUAUGUAUUGUGCAAAUCUCUAUGUCUCCCUCCUUGACUUGAUCACGGAUGGAGUUGAAGCGUCUCUUGAUGUGUUUGGUUCUUUUGUGAAAUCAGGAUUCCUUCGCCAAGGCAAUUGCUCCAGUAUUGUCACAAAAGAUUUUUAUUGGACCCGAUGCACUAGUUAUUACAACUAGUGGGCCAGGGUGCCCACCACCCACCAGGGCGCGCCUAGAGGGGGUGACGCGCCCUGGUGUCUUGUGGCCACCUAGCAGCCCCCCUGUAACGCCCCGAGACCGUUGUGCCAGGUGUCUUCCAGUUAUUCGUUGUUGUUUCCUUGUCAUUUGUUUGCGUGUCAUGAAUUUCUUAUCAUGUCAUCAUGUGCAUCGCAUUUGCAUAUGUGUUCGUCUCAUGCAUCCGAGCUUUUUCCCUGUUGUCCAUUUUGCAAUCCGACACUCCUAUGUCCUCCGGCGCCCCCUUUUGCCUCUUUUCGUGUGCGGGUGUUGAACGUUCUCGGAUUGGACCGAGAUUUGCCAAGCGGCCUUGGUACAAUCGGUAGACCGCCUGUCAAGUUUCGUGCCAUUUGGGGUCUGUUUGAUACUCCAACGGUUAACCGGGGAACCGUAAAGGCCUCGUGUGUGUUGCAGCCCAACACCCCUCCAAAGUGGCCCAAAACCCAUCUAAACCCCCUCCAUCCUCUCGGUCGUUCGAUCACGAUCGCGUGGCCGAAAACCACUCCUCAUUUGGACUCUCCUAGCUCCCUCUACCUAUAUAUAUGUGUGCCUCCCCGAAAAUUUGCACAGUCUAACCCUAGCAUUUUUCCCUCUCCGCCGCCGGACACAUCUCCCUCCUCCAUCGGACAUGUCCGCCGCCGCCUUCGUCCAAUCCGGAGCCGCCACGUGUCCACCCGCGCCCCACUUUGCUGCCGGGCCCGCGGAGCCCAUCUCCGGCCCGCUCUGGGCCGCGCCGGGCCCAAUCCGCCCGAGCCGCCAGGAUCCCACGCCGUCCUNNNNNNNNNNNNNNNNNNNNNNNNNNNNNNNNNNNNNNNNNNNNNNNNNNNNNNNNNNNNNNNNNNNNNNNNNNNNNNNNNNNNNNNNNNNNNNNNNNNNNNNNNNNNNNNNNNNNNNNNNNNNNNNNNNNNNNNNNNNNNNNNNNNNNNNNNNNNNNNNNNNNNNNNNNNNNNNNNNNNNNNNNNNNNNNNNNNNNNNNNNNNNNNNNNNNNNNNNNNNNNNNNNNNNNNNNNNNNNNNNNNNNNNNNNNNNNNNNNNNNNNNNNNNNNNNNNNNNNNNNNNNCGCCGCCGCCGCAUCGCCACGAGCCAUCGCCCGCGCUGUCGCCGCCAUGCGCCUCCUCGCCGCCGUCGAGCUUCGCCGGCCGCCGCCCUCCACCGCCCGGGCCGGAGCUUUCCUUGCCGGCCGUCGGCUCCCGGUCGCGCUCCGCCCAUGGAUCCGACCGAUAUCCCUCCUCCGGUGCCCCCCCUCCCCCCAUCCUCUCCGGCCGCCUCCUCGCGUCGUCCGGCCUCCUCCACGUCAACUCCGGCGAGUUUCUCCGGCGUGCCUCAAAAACCAUGCCGAGCAAACCCUAGAUCUGGAGGUUGAUAUUUUGCCCAAGUCUUUUUCUGCAUCAUUUUCAAGCCAUGUUCAACAUGUCAUAACUUCAUCAUCGUAGCUCUGUUUCAUGCGCAUGAUAUAUCAAAUUGUUCGUCUGGAUGUGCUCUACAUUUUGUUACAUUGUGCCAUGCGUGUUUGAGUCCAUCUUGAUGCCCAAAUGACUGUUGCAAGAGUGCUAUGAAAUGUUAGGUGUUGAUUCUUAUCAGUUUAUGAGCAUUUGUCAUUUUUGCCAUGAUUAUUGUGUGCUGCAUAUGAGCAUGAGCUCUACAUGUGUUUUGUUAUAUGCCAUGCCAUCUUUACAGGGGUGUAUGCCAUGUAUUUUUGUGAUCAAUGUGGUGACUAGCACAAGCAUGCAAAGUAGCUCUCGUGAUGUUGCUGAUUUCAGGGACUUGAAAUUUCACUAAGUCAUUUCCCUGCUGUUAUUUUUAUGACAUGUAUUCAUGUUUUUACAGAGUGAUCCAUGCCUCUUUUGAGCAUGUUCAGUAAGGAUGAUUUUGAGAUAUUGUUAUGCUCUAUCCAUCCAUGCCCUUGUUUGCUUUCAUGGAGUGCCCUAGCAUGACUCAAUCUUGCUCUACUUUUGCUAUAAAAUGUUCCUGGCAGAUUGUUUACUUGUUAAUCAAUUUUGCCAAGGUUGUUGUAGUUGAUCCAUGCAUGCUAUGAGAUUGUUCUUGCCAUGUUUAGCUUCUUGAACAUGUCUUCUUGCUUGUUGUAUGCUUAGUUUGCCAUGCAUGCCUUGUGUUCAGUGCAUCGAGCUCGCAAACAUGCCUUCGUAACUCUGUUCUUGCCAUGUCCAGUUUUCUGCUAAUUCUGAAUCUGUUAACGAAACUUGCUAUAUUUACAUGGGUGCCAUCAUAUCUUUUGAUCCUUUUUGGCUUAUGGUCAGUAAGGGACUUUUGUUAUAUGCUUUGAGUAGAUUCAUGCCAUGCCUUGUAUUGCUAUGAUCUGAUCAUGUAGCAUGUUGUUAUCUUGCUCUAAACAUUGCUUCCUGAUGUUAAUUCCUGACAUGUUAGUAUUUUUUACCAAGUCUGAGAUGCUGUUAUCUUUUGCUCUUUUGCCAUGCUUGUUUGAACCUGCUGUUGUGUGAUUUAGCUGUAGCUCAGUGUUCAUCUUUUGUCAAGCAUCUUGAGUAGAUCACUACCAUGUGCUUUGUUGUUAUGUUAGAGUGCAGUAGCUUAUUUUUUUGAUGCAUUUUAGUUGGCAUCGUGCUGUUAAUCGCAGAAUUGUGUCAUUAUUGUUUUGCUUGCCAUUUGCAAAUCGUGCAUCCGAUUCCGGUGAUCUUUAUAUCGAUUUCGACCGAAAUCAACUCAUCUUUCCAGUGGCGCACUUGGUUUGCCAAGUUGAGGCCUGGUUCAAUCUUUUCCUUCCGGAGCACGCAUAUGCAUUGCAUAUUACAUCCUGCAUAUCAUGUCAUGUUUUGCAUCAUGUUGCUUGCGCAUUGCACCGUGGUUGGUUGUGGUUUCUUUUGUUUGUGCUCUUGCUUUGGGUAGAGCCGGGAGACAAGUUCGUAUCGAGGAACCCAUUGAGUAUGCUUAUGAGGAUCAAGCUUUCGCCUACUCGGAGAACUUUGCAGGCAAGAUGACCAUACCAUCAAAAUCACUUCUAUCUUUGCUUGCUAGUUGCUCGCUCUUUUGCUAUGCCGCAAUACCUACCACUUGCUAUAUCAUGCCUCUCAUAUUGCCAUGUCAAGCCUCUAACCCACCUUUCCUAGCAAACCAUUGUUUGGCUAUGUUACCGCUUUGCUCAGCCCCUCUUAUAGCAUUGCUAGUUGCAGGUGAAGAUGAAGUUUGUUCCAUGUUGGAACAUGGAUUUGUUGGGAUAUCAUUAUUAUAUCUUGUUUACCUUAAUGCACCUAUAUACUUGGUAAAGGGUGGAAGGCUCGGCCUUAUGCCUGGUGUUUUGUUCCACUCUUGCCACCCUAGUUUCCGUCAUACCGGUGUUAUGUUCCUUGAUUUUGUGUUCCUUACGCGGUUGGCUUAUAAUGGGAACCCCUUGACAGUUCUCCUUGAAUAAAACUCCUCCAGCAAGGCCCAACCUUGGUUUUACCAUUUGCACUAACAACAUAUCACCUUCCCUUGGGUUCUGCAGACUCAAGGGUCAUCUUUAUUUACCCCCCGGGCCAGUGCUUGUCUAAGUGUUGGUCCGAACUAGAGCCCCUUGCAGCGCCACCUCGGGGAAACUUGAGGGCUGGUUUUAGUUGUACGAGUUGCUCAUCCGGUGUUGCCCUGAGAACGAGAUAUGUGCAGCUCCUAUCAGGAUGUCGACGCAUCGGGCGGCUUUGCUGGUCUUGUUUUACCAUUGUCGAGAUGUCUUGUAACCGGGAUUCCGAGUCUGAUCGGGUCUUCCUGGGAGAAGGAAUAUCCUUCGUUGACCGUGAGAGCUUGUGAUGGGCUAAGUUGGGACACCCCUGCAGGGUUUUGAACUUUUGAAAGCCGUGCCCGUGGUUAUGGGCAGAUGGGAAUUUGUUAAUGUCUGGUUGUAGAGAACUUGACACUUAACUUAAUUAAAAUGCAUCAACAGCGUGUGUAGCCGUGAUGGUCUCUUUUCGGCGGAGUCCGGGAAGUGAACACGGUCUCGUGUUAUGCUUGAAUGUAAGUAGUUUCAGGAUCACUUCUUGAUCAUGAUAGUUUAUCGAUCGUGCUUUGCUUCUCUUCUCGCUCUCAUUUGCGUAAGUUAGCCAACAUAUAUGCUAGUGCUUGUUGCAGCUCCACCUCACUGCCUUUUCCUACCCAUAAGCUUAAAUAGUCUUGAUCGCGAGGGUGUGAGAUUGCUGAGUCCCCGUGACUCAUAGAUUACUUCAAACAGUUGCAGGUGCCGAUGAUAACCGUGCAGGUGACGCAACCAAGCUCAAGGAGGAGCUCGAUGAAGAUCGUGUUUGUUGUGUUGUUUCGUUUCCAGUUGAUCAGUAGUGGAGCCCAGUCGGGGCGAUCGGGGUUCUAUUGCAUUAGGGGUUGUCUUUCUUUAUUUGGUUCCGUAGUCGGACCUUGAUUGUAUUCUGGAUGAUGUAAUGUUUUAUCCAUGUAUUGUGUGAAGUGGCGAUUGUAAGCCAACUCUUUAUCCCUUUCAUUUCAGUACAUGGGAUGUGUAAAGAUUACCCCUCUUGCGAUAUGCCUACAAUGCGGUUAUGCCUCUAAGUCGUGCUCCGACACGUGGGAGAUAUAGCCGCAUCGUGGGUGUUACACCCCCUCUGGUAGUUCUUUUCUCUGAUAUUUUUUCUUUAUUCUAAAAUAAUUCUCCGUAAAAUUUCAGCUUGUUUGGAGAUGUGCAGAAUAGGUAUCUCUGAUAUAGCUUUUUUAGGUCCAGAAUUCCAGUUGCCGGCAUUCUUCCUCUUUGUGUAAACCUUCCAUAUUAUGAGAGAAAAGGCAUUAGAAUUACUCCAUAAAGUGUUAUAAAGCAUAAAAACACUAUAAAUGUAUGAUUUUGUCAUGCAAAAUCAAAAUGAAUGUCACAGAAAUACCCUAAAACGUCAUAUAAGAUCACCAUUGACCAUCAAAAUAUAAGGCCACCUCAUUCAUUAUGAAGAAAUUCUUUGCCAUGAGAGUAAACCAGGCCAACACUAAAAUUCAUGAAGUAAAGUCAUCCAUAGUCUUAUGUUUCAUUACAUGAAAGAAAGUGAUGGUAUGACUCCAUCGUGUAUUAGAUGUGGCCUUUCCUACGACAAUGUGGUAUCAUCAUUUUUUCUAAUUUAGUAAAAGGUCUUACAUAUUGGUUUCACAAUCCAAAAAGACUCCUUCGCCCGCGCGUUGGGACGGGCGAAGCGCUCCAUAGAAGCAGUCAGGUUCCGACAUUGCGCUAUGUUCCUUUUCAAACUUUUGUGUGUUGUUUACCUGAGAAUGGUGGCCCCACAUAGUAUAGCAGCCCCACCUAUUACACGCAUUCCCUAACCCUUUGUGACAGCUAGUCGGAAAUUGAUCGCGUGGGCGUGUGCGCGUGAAUUAGCCUCCCCCUCACAGCCAUCCACCCCAAAAAAUAAUACAAAUUAAUAUAAUUUUAGCCAUGUUAGAGACAUGUGUGUACCUCCACAAUGUAAUGGGCUAUUGUUGUUUACAACUAAUUGGUUCCUAAUUUUAUGACUGGAUAUGGAUUUUGUCAUGAAACAUACAGGGUUUGUGCCUCCUAGGUAGGUUUAUGACAAAAUGAUAGUUUUGUCAUGGAAGGACCGAUGUUUAUGACACAAACACAAAACAUCACAGAUAAUUCAUCGUAGAAGGCCAAAAUUUAGUAGUACAAGAUAUCUUGGGACUCGUCAACUGGAUAUGUAAUUUGCACAUAUUUGUGUCCUCUACACAUUCUAUGGUUUACUGGAAUUUAUGCAAUAAUGCAAAAAAAUAGUAUCUAAUUGCGGUGCAAAAUGGUUAGAAAAAGUGCCAUGUCUUUGAUGAAUCGAUGUUGGAAUAUGGCUCACAAGACAAGUGCACUAUGGUAGGUUUGUCCUUGUCUUGUUUUGACACAUUUUUUCUCCUUUUUUCUAGUUUUUAAUUUGGAUUUUGGCUUUUUAUCAUCUGGUUCUCAUCAAUUUCCAACUGUUGCCACAAGUUUUCAAGGGGUUCUUAGCCAUCUUUUUAUGUGUUUCUCCACAAUAUUUUUUGAAGUACUUUGGUAUUCCAUAACAAUUUUCACACUAGAUAAUACACAACAUAUAACUGAGGAAAAAUGCAUGAGAAGAAAACAAUGCAAGACAUAGGCAUCUCCAGCUGCAAACAAAGUAACAUUUCCAUCAAUUGAUGGCAAGACAACAAUCCGCGGAUUGCAUAUAAUAUAUGUGUGUAUGUAUAGCCGGUGCUAUAAUUCUCAUAUGCAUCCUCCUCGACCUACGUUGGUAGGUGCUUACAUAAUAUACUCAUAUAUUCACAUAUGAGUAGUACGAGAAGUAAAACCGAGAAAGCAGCGCUGCCGACAAAUGUGAACUAACAUGGCAUGUAUAUGCGUUACUUCAACUUGCACUUUAGGCCUUGCCAGAUUCCUCGCAGCCUGGUGGCCUGAAGGCAAUGAAGCUGACGCACUGCACCUGGCGCAUGUUGUCGAAGCCGAUGACACGGACAUAGGCGUCAGGGUACUCCUUCUUGACCUCCUCCACCUCGUUGAGCACCUGCGUUGCGUCGGUGCACCCGAACAUAGGCAGCUUCCACAUUGUCCAGUAUCGACCGUCGUAGUAGCCGGGGGAGCUGUUGUGCUCACGGAAGACGAAGCCAACCUUGCUGAACUCGAGGCAGGGCACCCACUUGGAGCGGAUCAGGUAGUCGACCUGCUUUAGGAGGGCCUCAGUGGAGAGGGGUGGCAAGUAAGACAGGGUCUCGAACUUCUUGAUGCCCUCAAUCGGCCACACCUGAAUAGAUGGAGUCGACACAAUUGAUCAACACUUGGUGCUUAAAGAAAGACCUGGCUAUAAGGCAAAAAUCACUCCUUAUGGUCUGCCCAUACAUUGUGGGGGGCUCCACAAGCAAGAAGGUCAAGGGCAGCAGCUCUUGCUUAUGGGUAGUGUACGGGCAUUAAAAUGAUAUUAUCUAAUACACGUUGUGAUAAAAUCGAUUUCCGUUCACAAAGUUUAUGAGUUAAAUAUUCCUACACAUGUGAACCUGCUUACGGACUACAUACAUUGUGAUGCACUAUCUUAGUUUACUUUGGCCUGGUAUGUGGGUUACACAUCCUAAUUAAGGAUAGCUUUGGAAAAUACCUGAUGAAUUAAUCAACUGUGCCGACAAAAAUAUUCAUAUGACCUUAGUGUUGGUCCUACCUCGCAAAGAUAAUACUCUGUCCGAUACAAAAUAAGUGUUGCAGUUUUGAACUAAGAUUAACGAGGAAGUAAUUAGUUUCCAUACCUGCAUGCAUCUGAUCCUUCCGCCGUUGCUGACGCUGCUGAG